RNAcentral lists this long non-coding RNA (45766 nucleotides) under Linum usitatissimum (flax). RNAcentral describes it as "long non-coding RNA (LUSI_LNC003129)". The record is from RNAcentral. Lineage: Eukaryota; Viridiplantae; Streptophyta; Magnoliopsida; Malpighiales; Linaceae.
GCUUAUGCUCCUAAGAAGCCUUACGCAGAGUGUGACAAGCCUAAGCCAAAACCCACACCUCCUCCUUACUAUUAUAAGUCUCCACCACCACCAUCACCUAAACCAUACUACUACAAAUCCCCGCCUCCUCCUCCUCCAACUUACGUGUACAAGUCCCCGCCACCACCGGCUUACGUGUACAAGUCACCACCACCACCGGCUUACAUAUACAAGUCGCCGCCACCUCCUUCACCUAAGCCAUACUACUACAAGUCACCACCUCCUCCGACUUACGUCUACAAGUCUCCACCACCACCUGCUUACGUGUACAAGUCGCCUCCACCACCGGCAUAUGUGUACAAGUCACCACCACCUCCUUCACCUAAGCCAUACUACUACAAGUCACCACCUCCUCCGACUUACGUCUACAAGUCUCCACCACCACCUGCUUACGUGUACAAGUCGCCUCCACCACCGGCAUAUGUGUACAAGUCACCACCACCUCCUUCACCUAAGCCAUACUACUACAAGUCACCACCUCCUCCGACUUACGUCUACAAGUCUCCACCACCACCUGCUUACGUGUACAAGUCAUACUUGAGUGCAUUGAAGCCAUUAUCCUGAUCCUUAAUGAUACCGUCCAGAAUUUUGUGGCGGGUGACUACUACUCCACACCCCCCCCCCCCCCCCCCCCCCCCCCCCCGCCUCCUCCUUACUACUAUAAAUCCCCACCACCUCCUUCCCCAUCUCCGCCUCCACCAUACUACUACAAGUCCCCACCCCCACCAUCACCAUCUCCGCCUCCACCGUACUACUACAAAUCUCCCCCGCCUCCAUCACCAUCACCACCCCCUCCAUACUACUAAAUAUCUCCACCUCCUCAGUCACCAGGGCGUGGUUUACGCAAGACCCCCCCCCCCCCCCACCCCCACCCCCCCCCCCUCCAUAUUACUACAAGUCUCCACCCCCACCAUCACCAUCUCCCCCGCCCCCGUAUUACUACAAGUCUCCCCCUCCUCCAUCGCCAUCACCGCCUCCUCCUUACUACUACAAGUCCCCUCCUCCUCCGUCACCAUCUCCACCACCACCAUACUACUACAAAUCUCCUCCACCACCAUCUCCCUCACCACCUCCACCAUACUACUACAAGUCUCCACCUCCUCCGUCACCAUCUCCACCACCACCAUACUACUACAAAUCUCCUCCACCACCAUCUCCCUCACCACCUCCACCACACCCCUACAAGUGUCUACUACAAAUCUCCCCCACCACCAUCUCCCUCACCUCCACCACCGUACUACUACAAGUCCCCUCCCCCUCCAUCUCCCUCACCACCACCACCAUACUACUACAAAUCUCCCCCACCACCAUCUCCCUCACCUCCACCACCGUACUACUACAAGUCCCCUCCCCCUCCAUCUCCCUCACCACCACCACCAUACUACUACAAAUCUCCCCCACCACCAUCUCCCUCACCUCCACCACCGUACUACUACAAGUCCCCUCCCCCACCAUCACCCUCACCACCACCACCAUACUACUACAAGUCUCCCCCACCACCAUCUCCUUCACCUCCACCACCGUACUACUACAAGUCCCCUCCCCCUCCAUCUCCCUCACCACCACCACCGUAUUACUACAAAUCUCCACCACCUCCUUCCCCAUCGCCGCCACCUCCUUACCACUACAAGUCUCCCCCACCACCAUCACCAUCUCCACCACCACCAUACUACUACAAGUCCCCUCCUCCUCCCUCACCGUCACCACCACCACCAUACUACUACAAGUCCCCACCACCACCAUCGCCAUCACCCCCUCCUCCAUACCACUACAGCUCACCUCCCCCACCGGUGAAAUCACCACCACCACCGGCAUACAUCUACUCAUCUCCCCCACCACCAACCCACUACUAGGCUCAAACGCCUCGGCAACACACCACCAAUGUAAGUUCCAUAAUCAUUUCUCCAUUCCAUCAAACUCUAUAUUUCAUUCCUUAACAGCUUUUCUAACAGUACUACUUUCCAUUUCAGAUUUAAGAAUUGACGAUGUAAUAAAAGAAGGCUCCAAUCAUGGUCUGAUAAACCCAACAUCAUCAAUUAGUGCCAAUAAUAACAACAGCCGAUAUGGUUCAGUAUGCAGAGUUGCUAUCCUGCACAUGGCAAUCUUGCUGUGUUCAUCAUCAUCAUCAUCAUCAAGUGGAGUUUUGUUCAAGAAGACGACAUUUGGGAAAUUAAGCAACUAUUCUUAGUUAUCGGAUUUGAUGAUCAAUUGGGUUUGUUCAGAGUUUAUUUGUUUAGUUGAUGUAUGUAAAAUCUAUUUGUUAUUUAGUUUUCCAGCUUUAAUUUUUUGUUGGGGAGGAUUUGGGAAAUGCGUGCUUAAUUAUGUUAUGGAAAUGCUAAUAUUAUAUAAAUUAUUCAAUGUUUAUGUUUGGGGAAGCAACGCAACGCAACGCAAAAUUGAUGUAAUUGCAAUUUUUUAUUGGAGCUUCUUCUACUUAUGUUUGACCUCCCUGCAGAUUGCGAGUAAUAAAGUAAACCCAUUUCAUAUUCUGAUUUUUCGAUUCAAUUUCGAUCGAAAUUACUUACUCACAAAUAAACUUCACUUAGCUUCAAUCUUUAGUAGGCCACUACUGAUCACGACUAUCUUUACAUUGCCUAAAUCGUUCAGAAAUUUGAAUCAGACCGGCCAACCAGCUUAACCGGUUUGGUAACGGCCGGGGAGGUUAAUUUGUUGCAUGCAUCAGAUGACUUGUCUUGUUGGCAUACAUAUGAAUAUGUACAUCAACUAGGUAGCCGGCCAUACAUAAUUAGGGAAACAGGUUGCAGCAGAAAGUCAUAGCUUAGUUAACUCUGGCAAACAAAACAACAAUCAUUUAGUGGAGGAGUUGAAAAUCGAAAUCCUAAUCAUGAUUAAUCCUCGUCAUUAAUCUCAUCAGCAGCUGUUUACUUUAGAGAAAAUGACGACCAAUGGAGCAGGUGAAUUCCACAGUUGGAACGUCACUAUCGACAUUUACGUACAUGUGCUUAUUUAAUAUGCGUUUUCCACCUGGCUUACCAGUUAUUCCAAUCUUCAAGAGUAACUCGCUUGCCAUAAAAAAAUCUAGUGGCUUUGAUUUUUAUUAUCUAUUCUGUAGACAACUUUCAAAUGAUAAUGUUGCUGCUCAUUACUAUUUUUUAACUAAUAAUUGCCUACUUUCUUGCUGGUGACGUUUCAAAAGUUGAUGUGGACUGGGCCUCAAUCCAGCUUAUCACGCCUAUAAAGGUUCUAAGGCCCACAAGGAACAGUCCAGCAGACUCUGGCCCAACAUUUUGCGCCUUCUAGUGGCCGGUUUCGACCGAUCAUGCACCCGCCCGGGCGAUGAUUUUUUGAUGCCUUCCAGUCCCUGGUGUCCGUAUGUGGUUGGUAAAUUUCGCCACAUGUGUCAACUUGAUUCACAGACCAAGCUACAUUCAUUGCCUACGUUAACGUUAGGCCUGGGAUCCCGUCCGACCAGGGUUACUUAUAAUCACUCAAACCGGAUUUUCGGCUAAUCAGAUUACUAAAAUCACUGACCGAUUCCGGACUGGCUGGAGUGUCUGAGUAGCAUGUACCCGUCCAGGUUGAUCACAUUAGACAAAAAUUGGUAUGUUAACCGAUAACGAGGUUAAAUGAGUGACCUCACUCGACCCUAAACAUAAAAAAAUCCAAUUAAUUUGGGAUAUUUGUUACCCGGAUUUAACCGGUCAAGUUAUUAGUUAGACUGCAUACCCAGACCCAGAAUUCCCAAUCCCAGGCUACACACUCACGAUGAUCUUCAAAAGGAACAUGCUGAUGGUUUGACCGACAUGUGUUUAUUAUCAGAAUAUUAUAAGUAGAGGGUAUAUAAACCUCUAUAUUAUUGGUAACAAAGUUAUGUAUAACUUGAAUGAUCCUUUCAUAUUUUAGUUUUUUCCUUUUGAUGUUUUCAUAACUCGAACGAUAAGAUCAUAACGUACAAAUAAACUUACUAUAUUGAUAGAUUUGUAUAUUGAUGAUCCAAAAGUAUAAAGUUUGAAUCCGAUUACUAUGUGUCAUGGGCCAUUCCCUUGUUUGUUUGGCAUGUUGUCAUGUGUACCAAAUUACUAAACAAGCAGGUAAAACUAAAAACCUUUGAUCAAGUGAAUUCUUUUUGGGCCUUUGCUAUUCUCUUAAUUAGACCCAAUAGCGAUAAAGAAACAAAAUCUAACAAGAGCUAUAGGGCCCGGCCCAUCAUUCGUUUGAAGCCCAUCCAGCUCUUCCCAAAAUAAUAGACAGAAACACCUGUAAAUAACAGCACACCAACCGCGAACAACUGUACCCAACGACACCGACGCCCUCUCUUCUCUUCCGAACUAAUUUAAAGGUAAUAUAUAUAUAUAUAUAUAUAUAAUCCAUCAAAUGGUAAAAUAAACUUCUCCAUUUCAGGAGCAAUUUCCGCGUAUCUCUCUUCCCUCGCUCUCUCUGUCUCUCUAGCAGGUCUUGGUCGCCUUGCUGGAAGAAAAUUCCUUCGUCUGACCGCCUUCGGUCAGAUCUCCGGCUGAUUCAGAUUCUGUUUUUGGGCCGGCACAUUCCAUCGCCGAUUAGGUUCGUUCUCUUUUCUCAUUUCCUUGUCUGCGAUCUGGUGUUCCAUUUCUAUUUGUCCAAUUCCACGUGAUCUGAUCUCCAGCUAUCUUCUGGGUGAUUUUUUGCUCCUAAUUCAGCUCAGUUGUGUCCUUGCUUAUGUUUCUGUUGAUCGGAGAUUGCCAAUUUUUCCAAACAUUGUUGCCCUAUCGUGAUUCGGAUUCGUUUACUGUUGAUUGUUUUUUUUUUUGGCGUAUUUUCCUUUUCGUGCGAUGCGUCAUGACGAAUCAUCUCUUCGAUGCGUGGCAGUCUGUGUUCGUCGGAUUUAUUCUUUGCGUUGUAUGCUCUGGAUCAAUGGAUGUGAUCUUACUCUACUUUUAUUCUGCUGGGUAACUUUAUUGUCCGUUAAAAUUUGAUUGGUGCUUUUCUUUUUAACUAGUGGAAUGGAAUUUAGUUGAAUUUGAGUUAGGCUUACGUAAUCUACAUUGUUGGAAAAAUCAAUUGUUUGUGUUCCGUGGUAGUUGCAUUUAGUUGUCUACUAAUGUUUGAAAGUUCUACAAGAGAUUGCCCAAAUUGUGAUGUUAAUUUCUGGUGUUGCAGUCAUUUUACUUUGAGGUUCUUCGCCGUUUAAUUUUCUUCUUGUCAAGUAUUAUCAAGCUGUUGAUAGUUUACUUUCUAUAUGUGAUGGUCUCUUAUGCAGUAUUUGUUUCUCUUGAGAUGCCACUUAUUGUUCUCUUUGUUGCUAACAAUUCUCAUUUUGAUUGCUGAUAGAGAUUAGUCUUCAUUACACUGUAGAUUGAAGUACAGCAAUGAAGAAGGUCUUCGACCAGACUGUUAGGGACUUGUAAGUGCUUCACUAUUAUCUAUUCUUCGACCAGACUGUUAGACAUGUUCUUAACAAUUUUUUUUGCCUAUUUACUUGUGUCUGUAGAAAGAGAGAGGUGAACAAGAAAGUGCUUAAAGUACCAGGCAUAGAGCAGAAGGUAUAUUUCAGAGUUUCCUGAAAUGUUUUGCACGGAAUAUGAUUAUCGGAAAAGCAUAUUAUUAUUUUUAUAUUAUCCACUAUACCCCUAGAAAGCUAUACCCUAAGCUUCAGAUCUGAUGAACUUAAAUCAUAUAUUGCUCGUCUUUCAAAAAGAUCAUCAGAUAUUCUUCACUCAUAACUUGCUUCUUUUCCAAGUUCCCUCUGAAUGAGUCGUUUUUUUUAGGUUCUUGAUGCUACAAACAACGAGCCCUGGGGUCCUCAUGGAUCACUGCUUGCAGAUAUCGCACAAGCUACCAGAAACUAGUAUGAUUCUACACUCUGUCUGCUGGUGCUUUAGAUUGGAUACUUAAUCAUAAUAAGUUAAUUCUGUAACUGUUUGUGCAGUCAUGAAUACCAGAUGAUUAUGUCAAUUAUCUGGAAACGAAUCAAUGACACAGGCAAGAACUGGCGACAUGUCUACAAGGUUUGUGCAGCGCUGUGUACAGUUGUUUAGGAUAUUCGCAUACGCUUGAUGCUAAUCUAUCUUUGUCAAAAAUGUGAUAUUGAUAUCAACGGUCAUGCACCCACUUUACUGUUGCUCGUUUUGUCUGGCUUAGUUUAAUUGUACAGAUUUCUCCUUAAGUAUUUUUGCUAUAUGUAGUAUGUCCGUACUUCAAAGACUUUUCGCUAUAAUUUUUGCUGCUUGAUUUUUUUGUGCGACGGUCUAGUUUAUUGCCAGUAUGUUCACUCACUGCAUGUCGCUUGUGCGGCUUGAUUUCAAUGUAAAGAUUUCUGAAGUAUUUUCGCUUGCAUUUAGUAUGUCACACACCUAACUUUACUGAUUUUUUGCUGCUUGAUUUCAUUUUAUGAUGUUGCACUGUUGUUUUAGUAUGUUCAUUUACUGCAUGUGUCUUAAUCUUAUGCUUCUUAUACUGCAUGGCAAGAAAGUGCUGAAAUUCUCUUGUGUGGGUUCAGGGGUUGACUGUCUUGGAAUAUCUAGUGGCUCAUGGGUCAGAACGAGUCAUAGAUGACAUAAAAGAACAUGCUUAUCAGAUAUCGGUGAGGCUCGGUUUUUGUAUGAUUGCAAUUGCUGCAACCUUGUAUUUCCUUAAUAUUGUUGCAGCUCCAUAGGGUUGCAGCAAAGUAGCUUUAUUGGUGCCUAACCAGCUGUUUUUUUAUGUAUGUUAGACACUGUCCGAAUUUCAGUACAUUGAUUCCAGUGGAAGAGACCAGGGUAGCAAUGUCAGGAAGAAAUCUCAAAAUCUUGUUGCUCUGGUGAAUGAUAAAGAAAGGAUUGUUGAAGUUAGACAGAAAGCUGCCGCUAACAGGGAAAGGUGGAUUUGUUUUUGAACCAUAGCUUGUCUAACGGUUUUAAAUUGCCAACAAUUUGUAUUUAAUUUACAGCUUUUCUACAUUGAAGUCCAAUAAAUCACUUCAAAUUGUUAUUUUAAUUCCGAAAAAUGCAAAUAACAAUAGUUGGUGGUAUGCUUCCUUUUUAUAGGUUCCGCAGCCCAUCAGCAGGUGGAAUGCACAGGCCUGGUUCUCAUUCUGUUGGAGGAUAUGGCGAACGGUAUGAUGAUGAUCGCUAUGAGGGCCGCUAUGGAAAUAGGGAUGAAGAGCGGAAUGGAUAUGGAAGAGAAAGAGAAAACAAUUAUAGGGACGAUGACCGAUAUGGUAGAUAUGGCGAUUCAUAUAAUCGGGAUGGAAACAGAGAUGAAGAACGCUAUGGCCAGGAUGGAGACAGGGAUGAUGCUUACAGGGGAAGAAGUCGUAGCAAUGAUGGCUAUGGUUCGAGAGGCAGGAGUUCUGAUAGAGAUCAAGGCCAUGAUGAAGAUGGCCAAUACUCAUCUCGGUAUAUUGCAACUUACUUUAUGAAGCUCGUUGUUACUUGAAUUGCUUCAAUAUGUUUUUGAUUUCCUAGUUAGCAAAUUCUAUAAUUUUGAAGAUGUAUCUCUUGUCCAGACUUUGAAUUUUUAGCUGAAGUGUUUUCAUCCGAUCUUUUCAAAAGAAAUUUAGUGGCUUUGAGGCUUGUGAUAUGUGAAGAAUGCACAAGGAAACUAGUAAAACAAAGCUUUUGAAGAAAGGGUACUUAGGAAAUCAGGGGCCAUAGUGAAUAUCUAUCUGCUGGCUGUAUUGGCAUAGUAUAUUCUUGUGAUGUUGCCGACAAGCUUAUGCCUUCCAUUUUAAAUUAAAAAGCAUUACUGACAGUGGACAGUAGAGGUGAGGUAGCUGAGCGAUGCCUUGAUUCACUGUAGUGGUAGUUGUGCUAGAGCGAAUGAUCACUCCCACGAUGGGAGGUAAAUGAAUAUAUAUGUUCUUUGCCUUUUCUCAUUGGUGACCAUUAUUCGGAUUUCAUUUUUCUCCUGACUUUUGCAGGCCCCUUGAGAGAAAGUUUUCUGAGCAAAAUAUUGGUGCACCUCCUAGUUAUGAAGAAGCUGUAAAUGAAGCCGCUAGCCCUGCCCACAGUGAAAAGUAUUUUUCUUUGCUAACGGAACGCUUGGGCUUCUAAGUUUCAUGUAUAUUUCUGGUUUGGUUAAUUGUGAUUUGAUUUCCGUGACAGGAAUAGAGAAACUUCUGUGCCAUCUGGCCCCGUGGAAUCCUCUCCGUCAGCUCCUCUCGCUUCUUCCUCACCUGCUCCUCAAGUUUCUCAAUCUGCAAGUAAUGCCUUAAAAGAACCCUCUGGUUUCAGCUCAUCUGUCUCCCCUGCCAACCAAGAAGUAAUGGUAGAUGAAUUUGAUCCACGCGGCACUUUUGUAGGUACAUGACGAAGUUAAUGUACUUAUAAAUCUAUCAAUUGCAUGCAAGCUGUUCUUUUGUAUGUAACUGUUGCUGUUUGUUUAUUUGCAUUCUAGAUGUGACCAUAAAUAUCGAAUUGUCCACUUCUUUGUGUCUUUUUGUCUUAGAUGAUCGAGUAACGUUCCAAAGUAAACGAACUUUUUGCAUGAGAGCAGAACGUCAUAAAAUAACAAGAGUCACCUUGAAGGCGGUAGUUUUGGGUGCUCAGGAUGUCUGUUUUUUUUGCUUUAUCAUGUUUUUUUUAAGAUCGAGAAUGUAGUAAAAGCUAAAGGUUUAUAUGUGGUUUGGAUGGAAAUGGUUAAUCAAGCAUAUCUUCGUUGUUCUUAUCGAUUUCUUUGCUCCUAGAAAAGGCAACGAUCGACAAUAUAGUAAAAGCUAAUUUUGUUAUGUGGUUUGGAUGGAAAUGGGUAAUCAAGCAUGCCUUCGUUGUUUUUAUUGAUUUCUUUGCUCUAGAAAAGACAAGAGAAGGUACUUGUUGAUUAAUUCGUAGAGUCUUAUUAUUGACUUGUUAAACUUUAUGUUUUGGUGUUAGUCAUGUACUUUUUGACCACCGUGAUUGUCUAUUAUGGAAGUGGGUGUCACUUUGGAAAGCAUUAGAUGUGCUUUUUCAUAAUGUUGGCAGAUAGGAGUGCCAAUAGUUUAGCUUAUCACUAUAGAUAUGCCGAAUCUCCUUUUUAGUUGAAGCUUAUGUUUGUAUGUUCUCUUCGUCCAGCUUUUCCGACUUCCUCGGCAGCUCCAACUACCUCUACUGCUUCAGCAACUGCAAACAAUGCUGAAAUGGAUUUGCUUGGUUCUCUCUCAGAAUCAUUUGGUCCAUUAGCGGUUGUUCCAGUUUCUUCUUCAACUACUUCCUCUGAACAUUCUCAGCCAAAUUACUCGGCACCCUCAUUUGCUUCAACGCAACCAACUUUUGCCAAUCAAGUAAGCUCAUCUUGAAGCACCUUUUCACGACAUCUUAUUGUUCUUGAUGCUUCUUGACUUUUAAGGGAUGAAGCUCAUAUUUCAUUUGACGAGUGACUAGAAAAAUUUAUCCUAACUUGUUUGGAAUUGGAACACAAUUUGGUCUUGUAGGGAUUUGAAGAUCCAUUUGGUGACAAUCCCUUCAAGGCUGUUCCUUCAACUAGUGUUCUCCCAGAACAACCAAACCUUUCAGUUUCUGCUGCUGCAUCCCAGAAUUCGGCGAAUCAAUAUGCCGAAGUGCCACAUGUAACUGUUCCAAAUACUGAAAUGGAGAGGAACUCGCCCUUCGGUGAUACGACCUCUAGCUUGAGUUAUUCUGCGCCUGAUUUUCAGUCUACCUCAGCUACCUCCCAGUUCUUACCUCAAGAACUUUCCUCUUCAAAUCACGAAACUGAUAUACUAGCAGAUAUCCUCCCCCCUUCUGGGCCAGCACCACAGGCAGGGCUUCCAGCUCAAACUGGUCAAACCCCGUUCCCGGUUGGUAAUGUAUAUGGAAACUUCAAUUCACAGACAGGAUCUGCAGUUCCAGCAGCUCCAAACAUGGCUCCUCCGACUUCACAGUUCAGUAGUGGCAAUGGCAGUUUUAUGCCGCAGGGAGGUUCCAUGAGUCCAACCUCUGGAUUUACUACACAGUCAGGGUAUGGAGCUCCAGCUGCACAUCAGAUCCCUAGUCAAAUGGCAGCUGGACCAUCGGAAGCUGCUUCUUAUGCCCCUCCUGGACCAACUGCUCAGCACAACACUGGUGUCCUAGGUGGUUUCUAUGCACAAGGAGCAAGUGCUCCAUUGACUUCCCAGCCUGGUCAGUCUUUGGCUUCUCAGCCCAGCCUCUCUUCUUCAACUGGUGCACUUGUUCCCGUUUCUCAGCCGUCGAAAGACAAAUUUGAAACCAAAUCAACAGUCUGGGCUGAUACUCUCAGCAGAGGGCUCGUUAAUUUGAACAUAUCAGGAUGUAAGUACAUGAAAUUUCAUUUUAACAACUAUGAUGGAGCGUGUUCUUUAGAGGAUUUAAAAUUUGUGUUUGCUUGUGCAGCUAAGACGAAUCCAUUGGCUGACAUCGGAGUUGAUUUUGAUGCAAUUAAUCGCAAAGAAAAGAGAAUGUCGAAACCAACCACUACUACGAAUGUCGCAUCUACUGUCACCAUGGGGAAAGCCAUGGGAUCUGGUUCUGGAAUUGGCCGAGCAGGUGCAACUGGUAUAAGGCCGCAACCCUCAAACAUGAUGAUGGGUCCAAGUGCCGGCAUGGGUAUGGGUAUGGGCCUGGCUGGGGGUCCCGGACCCGGAAUGGGUAUGGGCAUAGCUGGCUCGGGUCCCGGCAUGGGUAUGGGAGGCUACGGAAGAAUGGCUCAACCGAUGGGAAUGGGAAUGAAUGGUAUGCAAAUGAACGGAAUGGGGAAUAUGCAGCAGCCUCUAAGUGGACUGCCCCAACAAGGACCACCAAUGUCGAUGCCCGGUGGCUAUAAUAAUAUGAUGAUGGGCGGAGGUGGUUACCCGCAACAGUCGUAUGGUAGAGGCUACCAGUGAAGAGAAUCGAAUUGAAUCGGCAUCACAUUUUGUUUGUUCAAGACACAAGGUAAAAUGAUUGUGAAGUGAGUUGGAAGUGGAUGCUUCUGUCCCGGAAAGCAUCCUUGGCGAGUACCUUGUUGGGAAGACUGAUUCAUGGGAUGCAUGUUGUGAUGGGUUUCUUUAUACGAUUUCUGUGUAUUCUAAUUCUAUAAGUUCCCCCUUUGUAUUUGAUUGAUAUUUUGUGAUUCAUAUGGUUUUGGGGUGAGAAGAAAGUUUGGGUGGGGGGAAGAUCAGUAGAGGGUCAAAUUGGUUUUGUUUUUAUAUACAGUUCUGUUCAACCUUUUCCAAAUUUGUAAUACUAGAACCCGCUGGAUUUGUGCCUGUCAUGCUAUGGAUUUGUGGUCUGGUUCUUUCUGACUUGAACAGGCUUAAAAACAUUCGAGCUGGUAAUCUAAGGUCCAUGCUCAUCACCCACUGCUAUAUAGCUCUGCGGAGGCCAAUUCUUUGAUUAAUCUGUACUCACGACGAAAUGUUGGAGAGAAAAUGUUGUUCCCUGGGGCGCACCGAUGGCUGGGUGUAUGCAGAGCGGAUUGCUGUACACGUCUAUCCAAAUAUUCGUAAUCAACUCCUACACACUGUAAAUGUGUUGGAUUUGAUUAGUUUGGCAAGUUGAAGGCAAGGCUUGCAUCUCAAGUCUUGGUCUCCAAAAACGUACUCUAAAUUGCAAUCUGUGGGAUUCCCCGUUUGUUCAACAUAUCUUGUGGUUUUAUUAGUGGUAGAGAUACCGUCCGUGGAUACAAUCCCUGUGAUUGUGUUAGCCAUUACUUUUGAAUGAUAUUGAUUUCAGCACCAUGCUAGCUUAUUUGCUGUUAGUUUCUAGCAACUAGUAUAUGCAGCCAAUUAAAGAAAUAAUGAAACUUGGUGGACACGUUAAAAUUUAAAGAAAUGCUAUUUAAAUUGGCAUGUAUCAGGUAAUAAUCGACGACUUUAAUGGGGGGAAAUCUGAAAAAUUAAAGGGUAAACGAUGAUAGCAAGAAUUAAAUUUCUACAUAGGAUGCCGUUGGAGAACAAGAGAUCAGCUUAGCAGAGUAUUCUUUCUCCAUCCCACUGUAUAAGAAUCAUGGAAAACCCCAGUUGAUUUCUUAGAGGAAAGAGGGAGGAAGAAGAAGCAGAGGAAGAACAAGAACUUUGACCAGCUGAUUCUGUAGUUGAAUUGGUUUGAACGGAAUUUGAAGAAUCUUCGUUUCUUCUGGAAUCAGUUUCUAGUGUUUAUUAUUCUGUUGCCAAGUCAAACUUCUCGUUCCCUUUACUUUUCCUUCCCUCCCAUUUUUGCAAGUUUCUCAUUCAAUGACUACCCAUCUUCUCCAUUUCUGAUCUACUCUUCCCCUCAAAGCUUUCAUCUUUUCCUCACAAUUCGAAAAAAAAUAUUAUAGGGUCACUGCUUUUUCUGUCGAUUUAUUCAUAUUUGCUUCACUUCUUUUCUGACUGGUCUGUGGCUAGCUAGAUCUUGGGUCUUCUGGUUCAAAGAUCAAAGCUUUAAUUCUUGCUUCUCUUCAUUCUGCUUGUCAUUCAAUCUACAGAUACCCUUUUCCAAUUAAAGUCAAACCCAGAUUGAAUAGAUGGGCAAUUGCUGUGUAACCCCAUUUUCAAAGGCGAAUAACAACAGUAAGCACACCAAGAAGAAGAGUCUGUUCUCCGGAGGUGGUCAUGGAAAUGGCGGCGGCGGCGGGGGGCGNNNNNNNNNNNNNNNNNNNNNNNNNNNNNNNNNNNNNNNNNNNNNNNNNNNNNNNNNNNNNNNNNNNNNNNNNNNNNNNNNNNNNNNNNNNNNNNNNNNNNNNNNNNNNNNNNNNNNNNNNNNNNNNNNNNNNNNNNNNNNNNNNNNNNNNNNNNNNNNNNNNNNNNNNNNNNNNNNNNNNNNNNNNNNNNNNNNNNNNNNNNNNNNNNNNNNNNNNNNNNNNNNNNNNNNNNNNNNNNNNNNNNNNNNNNNNNNNNNNNNNNNNNNNNNNNNNNNNNNNNNNNNNNNNNNNNNNNNNNNNNNNNNNNNNNNNNNNNNNNNNNNNNNNNNNNNNNNNNNNNNNNNNNNNNNNNNNNNNNNNNNNNNNNNNNNNNNNNNNNNNNNNNNNNNNNNNNNNNNNNNNNNNNNNNNNNNNNNNNNNNNNNNNNNNNNNNNNNNNNNNNNNNNNNNNNNNNNNNNNNNNNNNNNNNNNNNNNNNNNNNNNNNNNNNNNNNNNNNNNNNNNNNNNNNNNNNNNNNNNNNNNNNNNNNNNNNNNNNNNNNNNNNNNNNNNNNNNNNNNNNNNNNNNNNNNNNNNNNNNNNNNNNNNNNNNNNNNNNNNNNNNNNNNNNNNNNNNNNNNNNNNNNNNNNNNNNNNNNNNNNNNNNNNNNNNNNNNNNNNNNNNNNNNNNNNNNNNNNNNNNNNNNNNNNNNNNNNNNNNNNNNNNNNNNNNNNNNNNNNNNNNNNNNNNNNNNNNNNNNNNNNNNNNNNNNNNNNNNNNNNNNNNNNNNNNNNNNNNNNNNNNNNNNNNNNNNNNNNNNNNNNNNNNNNNNNNNNNNNNNNNNNNNNNNNNNNNNNNNNNNNNNNNNNNNNNNNNNNNNNNNNNNNNNNNNNNNNNNNNNNNNNNNNNNNNNNNNNNNNNNNNNNNNNNNNNNNNNNNNNNNNNNNNNNNNNNNNNNNNNNNNNNNNNNNNNNNNNNNNNNNNNNNNNNNNNNNNNNNNNNNNNNNNNNNNNNNNNNNNNNNNNNNNNNNNNNNNNNNNNNNNNNNNNNNNNNNNNNNNNNNNNNNNNNNNNNNNNNNNNNNNNNNNNNNNNNNNNNNNNNNNNNNNNNNNNNNNNNNNNNNNNNNNNNNNNNNNNNNNNNNNNNNNNNNNNNNNNNNNNNNNNNNNNNNNNNNNNNNNNNNNNNNNNNNNNNNNNNNNNNNNNNNNNNNNNNNNNNNNNNNNNNNNNNNNNNNNNNNNNNNNNNNNNNNNNNNNNNNNNNNNNNNNNNNNNNNNNNNNNNNNNNNNNNNNNNNNNNNNNNNNNNNNNNNNNNNNNNNNNNNNNNNNNNNNNNNNNNNNNNNNNNNNNNNNNNNNNNNNNNNNNNNNNNNNNNNNNNNNNNNNNNNNNNNNNNNNNNNNNNNNNNNNNNNNNNNNNNNNNNNNNNNNNNNNNNNNNNNNNNNNNNNNNNNNNNNNNNNNNNNNNNNNNNNNNNNNNNNNNNNNNNNNNNNNNNNNNNNNNNNUUGGGGUUUGAUUGGUGGGAGAGAUACCGUCCGUGGAUACAAUCCCUGUGAUUGUGUUAGCCAUUACUUUUGAAUGAUAUUGAUUUCAGCACCAUGCUAGCUUAUUUGCUGUUAGUUUCUAGCAACUAGUAUAUGCAGCCAAUUAAAGAAAUAAUGAAACUUGGUGGACACGUUAAAAUUUAAAGAAAUGCUAUUUAAAUUGGCAUGUAUCAGGUAAUAAUCGACGACUUUAAUGGGGGGAAAUCUGAAAAAUUAAAGGGUAAACGAUGUUUUAUAGAAUUAAAUUUCUACAUAGGAUGCCGUUGGAGAACAAGAGAUCAGCUUAGCAGAGUAUUCUUUCUCCAUCCCACUGUAUAAGAAUCAUGGAAAACCCCAGUUGAUUUCUUAGAGGAAAGAGGGAGGAAGAAGAAGCAGAGGAAGAACAAGAACUUUGACCAGCUGAUUCUGUAGUUGAAUUGGUUUGAACGGAAUUUGAAGAAUCUUCGUUUCUUCUGGAAUCAGUUUCUAGAGUGUUUAUUAUUCUGUUGCCCAGUCAAACUUCUCGUUCCCUUUACUUUUCCUUCCCUCCCAUUUUUGCAAGCUUCUCAUUCAAUGACUACCCAUCUUCUCCAUUUCUGAUCUACUCUUCCCCUCAAAGCUUUCAUCUUUUCCUCACAAUUCGAAAAAAAAUAUUAUAGGGUCACUGCUUUUUCUGUCGAUUUAUUCAUAUUUGCUUCACUUCUUUUCUGACUGGUCUGUGGCUAGCUAGAUCUUGGGUCUUCUGGUUCAAAGAUCAAAGCUUUAAUUCUUGGGCCGCCACAAGCAGCAUCAGCUGAUUGUGUUGAAAGAAGCAACCAGCGGAGACAUCCACAAAAGGUAUGAGCUUGGUGGGGAGUUGGGAAGGGGGGAGUUUGGGAUCACGUAUCUGUGUACGGACAAGGAGAGUGGAGCGACUUUUGCCUGCAAGUCAAUCUCCAAGAAGAAGCUGCUGACGGCUGUGGAUAUAGAGGAUGUCAGGAGGGAAGUGGCGAUCAUGAGACAUUUGCCUGUGCACCAAAACUUUGUUACAUUGAAGGAUACUUACGAGGAUGAUGCUGCUGUGCAUUUGGUGAUGGAGUUGUGUCAAGGUGGAGAGUUGUUUGAUAGGAUUAUUGCUAGAGGUCAUUACACUGAAAGAGCUGCUGCUUCUGUCCUCAAGACCAUUGUGGAGGUUGUUCAGGUAAAAAAGCUAGCUUUGACUCCCAAAAGCUUUGCGCUUUUGCAUUUCUAAGUGACUUUAACUAGGAAUUUUGAUAAUAUAGGCAAUCAAAAUCACGAUAUAACUAGAGAAAGUUGGAUCUAGUAAAAGUGAUUUUGGGAUUCGAACUUUCUGGUCUAACAAGUGAGAGUGUUGCAUGGAAUUUUAAGCAUUUUCCCACUUGGACAGGAAAUUUACAUCUUGACAAAGUGAUUUUGGAGAGUGAACUUUUCCGUUGCCAUCUAAAUUUCAUUCAACUUUCCACCUAUCAAACCAAAAUAACAGAUGUAAAUAGAUUUCAGUUUCAAUCCUUCCUGCAAUUUGUUGUGUUAAUGUGAAAGUGUUGGUUUAUUUCCCUUUUGAAUGACAGAUGUGCCAUACACAUGGAGUAAUGCAUAGAGAUCUAAAGCCUGAGAACUUUUUGUUUGCGAAUAAAAAGGAGACUGCGCCUCUCAAGGCCAUUGACUUUGGGCUGUCAGUGUUUUUCAAGCCUGGUAAUGCUUUACUGGUGACUUCUUUGUGUUGCAGUUACAGUGUUUUUACCUUAACUAAUUUUUCCUUCUUUCCAGGCGAGACAUACACUGAGAUUGUGGGAAGUCCAUAUUACAUGGCUCCUGAAGUGUUGAAACGGAACUACGGCCCUGAAAUCGACGUCUGGAGUGCUGGUGUUAUACUUUACAUCUUACUUUGAAGAUGCUCAACCCUGAUCCCAAACGUCGCCUCACAGCCCAGGAAGUGCUAGGUAGGUGUCCUCUUCUAGAACUUGUGCUUCUUACACGUGUUCGUUCUAAUUUUGAACAUUGUUUCUUAUAAUGCAGAUCAUCCUUGGCUGCAAAAUUCGAGCAGUGCUCCCAAUGUUUCCUUGGGGGAUGCGGUAAAAGCAAGGCUCAAGCAAUUCUCUGCAAUGAACAAGCUCAAGAAAAGGGCUUUAAGGGUACAUUGAUAUGUUUGCAUUAACAAUCUGAGAAGUCAUGUAAUGCUGAUAAUUUUGUAUGGUGUUUCGUAACUGUUUUUGUUAAUGUCAACAGGUGAUCGCUGAGCGCUUAUCAGUGGAGGAAGCUGCAAGCAUCAAGGAGGGUUUCCAGCUUAUAGAUGCUAGAAACAUUGGGAAGGUUAACAUUGACGAUCUGCGUAUUGGCUUACAGAAGUUAGGCCAUCAAGUCACUGAGGCUGAUAUUCAUAAUCUAAUGGAAGCUGUAAGUGACAUCGUUAUUACUUUUUCCUGUAACAUAGUUUCACUACCGAAGACAAGUCGAUAAAGUGGCUGAAACACGAAGCCUUUUGUCAUUUCACAGGGUGAUGUUGAUGGGGACGGAUAUCUGGACUAUGGAGAGUUUGUGACCAUUUCUGUUCACCUAAGAAAGAUAGGGAACGAUGACCACAUUCGCAAAGCUUUCGAGUACUUUGACCGAAACCAAACCGGGCACAUCGAGAUCGAAGAGCUACGUGAAGCUUUGGCAGACGAUGUCGAUGCACAGGGCGAAGAAAUUAUCAGCGCCAUUAUACAAGAUGUUGACACGGACAAGGUUAGUAAUAUAAGUAUACCAUCACGACUUGUAAUUGUAUUCUCUGAUUAUAUACUGCCUUAGUUAUAACCCAUUCUUACUGAGUAGUUGUUGCCAUGUGGGAUUUCCAGGAUGGAAAAAUAAGCUACGAUGAGUUUGCAGCAAUGAUGAAAGCCGGUACAGACUGGAGGAAGGCAUCAAGGCAGUAUUCGAGAGAACGGUUCAGCAAUUUGAGUAUGACACUAAUGGAGGACGGAUCUUUGCGGGGGAGCAAAGAUUAAUGUAACGAACCAUAGCGGGACCAGCCCCGGAUUCUUUUUAAAGUUCAUUUUUUCCAUAAGCUAUAUAUAUAUAUAGAGACUUUCUGGGUGAGAUAUGCUUACUUGAGUGAAUCUUAUAUGCGUUUCUUUCUUUCAUUUUCUUGGCGUGGAAGGAAACUAGAAAGUGGCUGUACAUACUACAUACUAAAUAGUAUUACUUUGAAAUUUGAACGAUACUUAAAUUUUCGCUGUACUGUAAGACUGUAUUUUAGGGAAUUUUCAGAGUUAUAAUCCUUUAAUUUAUUGAGAAGAGCAUUGAACUAUCUAUAUCAUUCAUAAAAAAAGAUACACAAAGUUGCAUUAAGACACAUCUUUUGUGAGCAGCAUAAUCAUUUCCCUCUCAGGGCCUCUCAGCUCAUACAUAACUUGGCCUCCUAAGAUAUCCUUUUCUUUCAGAUAGCGUUUACUGUAGGGCCUCCAUUUUCUAUACUUGUAUUCAGCUCCCAGAACUUCCUGAGCCAAACACAAAAGCUGAAACUUUGUCAUUUUCAUCACAGAUUUAGGACAGACACAAUAACCAUCCAAAUAAUUAUAUUUUCAGCUAACUGAAUAGAGACGGAGAAGCAGGCUGACAUUAUAUCCAGUUCCAUAUCAAAUGAUGCAGGCUAAUUGUGAUUCACAUAAGUUGCAUAUGUAAAGCUAAUGCUCGCUCUACCUGGCAUCAAGGAGAUGUCUUUCCCAUUUUAGGCAGUAGACAGCUAAAAAGUUCACUCUAGGAAGACUUGAAUUCUGUCGCCCACUGUGUCUUUGAAAUCCAACAGCAGCUUGCCUCCUGCUUCACCGGCCGCCUCAUCCAACAGUUCUUUGAUGUUGACACCUCCCAAAGCUGUUUCAUGUAGACAUAUCGGUAAAGAUUACUCUUAAGUUUUAACUUUAGCAAGAUUUCAACAGACUAUUAGUAAUGUUAUCUCAAAAUGACAGUGGAAUUAUACCCGGUACGAUGUUAGUUAUUCCAUCCAAGAAACCAGCCUGCACAGCACAAGCGAAAAAAUAUCGUUAUUUGGACAAACAUAUUCUUCGGGUGCUACAUUACUAGCUAAUGUAUCAAAUCAGUGGUGCUUUUCAAAAGAUUCUAAACAGCAGAAAUCAAAGCUCGGGUAACUGGUUUAUUCGUCAUGAUGACCACUUGAUGUUGAUAAACUGUUCUUUUUUCUAACAAGAGUUCGAAUAGGUGGAAGGAUUGACGGAUGAACAUCUUAUCCAGCUAAGAUAUGUGUCAUUACUCACAUGUGGCACGAAAGAACCCAAUACGUAGAGGAAUCUAAGAUGAAUGCUAGCAAAUAGUUGCUUCACUAGGAGAGGAAAAGAGAGACUCACAGGAAUUCUAACGUCAAGUUUCUCAAACCCAUCAUUGCCAGUUAUCUUAACCCUCAAUGUUCGCGACCAGAUUCCAGAAAAGGGACCUCUGGAACCAUCUGCACCAUAGGCAUUGUAUACAUCAGGAGUAAUCACUUCCACAACAGGCUCUUGGGGACUUUCACUUCUUUGUUCUUUAUCAUCUUGAUCCCUCCGUUGUACAGAAUAAACAUUACUGCUUGCUGAUGAAUAACAUACAGUUUAAGAAUGAGGAAACUGUAACAUAGAAACCGUCAUUAUCUCCAUAUUUCCAAGAACACAAUUGUAAACAGGAAAAGCUUAGCAAGCCAAUUAAAACAAAAUUGUGAAAGAAAAAAGAGUUCUUAUGGGUUGUCCCAAGCCAGAAUUAUAUGGAGGGCUAACAAAAGAACGAUUAGAAUACACAGUACAGAACACAAGUAUGCCCUGCAUGCAACCUCUUUUGCAGAAAAAUGUAUUAUGUUUAGCUGAAUAUCUAGGUAAGAAUCUGAGCAUGGAUCAUGGAAAUAUUAAAAUGAUGAUGCAGAUUUCAUCAUAAAUCUGAGGAGAAUUUUCAAUACAUAUUUUGCAGAUGUUUCUUCUUAACUUAAGAGAUUUCAAUUCUAACCAACCUGGCUGCCUGGAAACUGAGUUGCUGCUAGUAGCAUACCGCUUCUCUUCUUCAUAGUAAGCAUUGAACCCUAAGGUCUCCUUUAUUUCUUCAAAUGAAGGCAUGCUUCCAGGAGGAGGAAUCCGGCCUCCCUUAAUGGCAGUAAGUGCAUCCUGCGGAAAAAGAAAAACUUGGUUUCAAACUGUAUGAUUCACAUUAUCACCUUAGUUUAAACCUUGCAUUUCAAGUUUCUCAAAAUUUUAUGAAUCUCGAAGAUUUAUGAAAUCUGAGCACUAUUGUAUUCCAGACACGACCAGAGGUAUUAUUAUCAAUGGCAAUGCACCAAGUACAACUCUCAGAUUGACACCUAUGAUUCUUAAUAUCCUUCUUAGGUAUGCUCUAGGGGAACUAAUAAGCAAUCCUAUUUAGAUCAUAAAAAUGUCAGAACUGACAGCUUUAGUAUAUCAUAUGUGUACUUGAACCAUUAGGGAGAGAGUAUGACCUGCAUUGCUUGAAUGGAGACUCCAAUCAAGGAAAGAGGAUACGCCACAAGCUUGUAGCCAAUUUCCUCCAGCUCCAAGGGGUUGAGUAUGGGAGUUUUACCACCUCCUUCAAGCAUAUUGGCCUUCAAUAAAAGAAAGAGUUAGCCAGCAUCAACAUCAUGGUGAAGUAUCAGAAAACAAGGGUUACCUUAGAGAAUAUCCUGACAAGAGGAUCAAAUCAAUUAUCAUAUUUUCUAAUCAUCUGUUUAUGAUUCUCAAACUCGAUAACAAGAGAAAAAGAAAACAUAUAAAUAAAGAGGGAAAGCCAAGACAAAUAUAAAACGAAAUUAUCCUUUCAUACAACUAUAUGCUGCUUAUACUUUCAAUUAUCAACAGAAAUAUACUUCAUCGGUUCAUCCACAAGAAUUUCAUCAUAUGCAGUAAUUUGCUAUCAUUUGCAGCAUGAUAAUUGUGAUUUGUAAACUCAAACGGGCUAAAUUUGAGAGACUGAUUCAAAUACAAGAAACUGUACCAUUUUUGGAACUUGAGGAGAUACGUCACAGAAAGCUCUCAUUUCUUCUCUUGAACCUAAUGCAUCAAUGAAAAGGACAUCCGCCCCAGCUUCAGCAAAAGCUCCGGACCUCCAGAGUGCUUCGUCCAAGGAAAUCGCUUGACGAGAAUCAGUUCGUGCGACAAUCACUAUGUCAGAGCCAGACUCUUGCCGUGCAUCAACAGCUGCUUUUAUCCUCAUCACUGCCUCUUCUCGCGAGACCACUUUCCUACCGCGGGUAUGGCCACAAGCUUUUGGAGACACCUUCCAGAAACGUAUUCCAGAGACAUCCAAACAAUACAAGUUGCAGGUUAUUGAGGUUCACUUCUGAUGAUUUAGAUGUGCAUAGUUUUCACCAAAUUAUUGAUGAACAAAUUUAUUGCAUAGUAAAAAAGACAAACCUGGUCUUCAAGAAUGAUGCCAGCAAAACCAGCAUUAAUGUAUCCCUUGACUGUCCUUUUAACACUCAUGGCAUUCCCAUAUCCAUUAUCACCAUCUCCAAUAACAGGGAUUGACACAGCUUGAGUGAUUUGCUGCCCUUGAUCCACCAUUUCCCCAUAGGAUAUGAAUCCAGUAUCAGGCAGCCCCAAUCUAGCAGCUGAUAUCGAAAACCCUAGAGCAAAGAAAUCAAAUUGAAAUGAAUCACUUGUCUGCAGCUUCGAAUUUGUAAGAAAGCAACAACACAACAAGUGAAGAAAGAAGCCAUGUAAACUGUUAAUAUAUUGUUGUGAGUAUUAUCAAACCCUUAAUUGGAAUCAACGCUAAUUUUAAUCAGUAAUCAGUACCACUGGUAAAGCAGAAGAGAAAUCCGGAUUUCUCAACAAGCUUAGCGCUGAGAGCGUCGAAACAAGCAGGACCUUGGUGAACUCCAGGGGAGUCGAGGAUGGAUCGGAGAGUCUUCGCCGGCGAGUCAGAAGCAGAGCAAACUACUCUGGUGGCUCUUGAUAUCCGUCGUUUUGUGGCGCUGAAGACAUUGUUGUUGAAGAGUAAAAGGGAGUUGCGGGGUUUGAAGUUGGAAGGAGAAGAAGAAGAAGGGAAUGGUAAGGAGAAGGUGGGUGAGGAUGGCAGAGAGGACUGUGAGAAAGAAGGAUGAGCAACAGAAAUUUGGGUUAGUGCAUUCAUUGUUGGGUGUGAUUGUGGAGACUGAAGAACUAAGUGAUCUCUUUCUGAGUAUCUGAUUUUUGUUAGCAGGAACUGGUCGCUACCAGAUAAUUAGUUUCAAAUAUUGCAGGUUCAUACAUUUUUCCUUUUUUUCCUUAAGUAAACAUUUUCCAUUUUAAAUCCUUAAAAAUUUGAUCUUUUUCCCGUUAAGUCUGCUGACCAAAACAUGUUAUUUACUUCCUUUCCCAGCUUCCUGUUUUGUAUGGCUUCUUACAUUCAUUGUGUUGAUCUGAUCAAGAACACCAGAAUGUUUGCAGGAGAUGAUGAAGGUUACUUGUUCAAGCUUUGAGUUUCCAUUUUCCAUUUUCCUUUCAAUCUAAAGGUUACGGAGCAAACCAACAAUCGUGACGAGACCCUAUACCAAUACUUCCGGAAGAGAAUUCUCUGCAACCGAAACAUAAAUGCUUCAAGUUUCCAUUCUCCAAUUCUGAAUCAUCAGUUCCUCAACGGUUUGGAGUUCGGACUAUACAGUUUACAAUAAAAAUGCUAAUAACCACUUAAAAAUGAAGACUAAUCAAUAACCAGUGUAGAAGGAUAUGUAUAGGUUUCUAACGUGAAUCCACAAUGAUCUUAUUAUAUAGUUCUAAUCUAAGUCGUAAAGCAUAUCUUCAUUGUUUUGAGCUACUUCCUGCAACUGUUCCUCUACUGUGACCUGCCAACCCAGCUUCCUCAUCUCGUUUGCUUCUCUCUGCAUUUCCGUCUCCCUCGUCUCCAGAUUCGUCUUCGUCUUUCUCGCCUCUGCAAAAUGGAUCAACCACAUGACCGAGGGCAGUAUAUCGGCCAAUUAGAUGCCAUAAACGCAUAGGUUAUUUUUUCAGACAAAAUUGUCGAUUUCUGUGUACCUUGAGUAGAUGACCAAACCAACAGCUACGGCACCAAAUGCGAGGAAGUACAUCCAAUCAACCUGAGCAGAGAUGAUAAAGAAUUAGGUUGCUGGAAAUUCAACUCAGAAAUUUUUCUUGGAUUUUAACGUCAGUGAAGCAGAUUAGCUAACGAACCUUCUGAUGGUAUGCAAAAAUGCGAAUCAAGACAGCCCACAUGUCCGACGAUAGUAAUGACAGGUUGAGCAUUGUAGACCCGUUAAUCUGCGAAUAAGAGCAUUGUACGUAAGUGAACAUACAAGGAACGAGAGGAAAGAAAAAUCAAAGGACAUAAUCCUAAUAAUACAUCCUCAGUUUAAUGACAUCCCUUAAUAAAUCAGUAUGCCUAUACUGAAUGAAAGACCAGUUAUGCAACUUAAAACCGUACCUUAAGCAGAAUAGGGACCAGAGAGUAGAACAGAAACAUCGCCAAAGAAAAGCCAACAAAUGGAAGAGCCUGAAACAAUCAAACAAUCGUACAGGAGCACUUUAGAUAAAAUUGAAAUCCAAUAGAGCAGAACACUGGAAAAUGAUUGGGGUAGUCGGUUCGCGCAAUGGUAUGCAGACAAUAAGAGAGAUAGGGAGAGACUUCCUUACAAUCAAGUGCAACCAGCAAAACAGUAGUCGAAAUUUCAUAGAUUUUGAUAAAAGGAUUUCUAUAUCAGAUGAGAGAAAGAAUAGAUCUUUUAACCAUAAACAGCUUCUGUAAUAUUGAAUUUUUGGCAGAAUAAAGCGAUCCUCCUGUAAAGAACUGAAUGUUUUACACGAGAAACAGAAUUGAAGAUACUUACUGCUCCAGCUGACCAGUGAAUUGAUCUAAGCUCGCUACGCUCCAAAAUAGCUCUGCGUAUAUCGUUAAGGAAUUAUGAAGAAACAUCUUAUACAACAACAGCAUCAAUACAAGAAUAUUCCACAUACGAGGAAGUUAGUUACAUUCCCCCUGCCAAUUCAACAAAUGCAUAGAAGUAGAAGAGCAUUGUACUUAAUUAAGGAUACAUUUGGAUAGCACUGAUAAUGGCGCCGAAAAACCCCAGCAGGGCCAUGAGUUCAACUCUGUCAGCACUCUUGACGAGAAACUCCUGUUCAACAUAAUAGAGCAUUAAUUCAGAUAAAUAGCUAAUCCUUAAAUUUGGAGUGACGUGGCAUAUAAGAAGUAACUGAUAAGAAGAGAAGCACUGAAAGAGGAACCACAGAAAGGAUACAGAUAGCAGAAUCGAACUAAUGAUAGCAGGAAGUUGUUCACUAGCAUAGUAAUCAAUAGCCUUAAUAACUAGUUAGUUGUUGUUGUUACUCAUCAGAUUCAGAUGGACUUACCUCACUGACGUUACUGACUGCAUACAGAGUUGCCCCAGCAACGACUAGAACAUCUCCUAACCAAGGCUUGCUUCCUCCUGCAAGAGAAGGAUACAUUAUAGUAGCUUCGAAAAAGUGAUCUAUUGAACCCAAUUCAAGAUCAGUCUUGGAAUAAAUGGCAUUGCCGGUCUGCCAAAAGUUGCAUUCAAUAGAGUGCAAAUUUCAUACUGAAGUGAGGUGUUGAAGAUAUCCAAAUGAAUGAAGCAGCACAAACUAGACUGGUUAAGUAUUUUUUGGAACAAAAAAGCACAUAAUUUUGAAAAGUACUUCUUCUGAUAAGCCAGGAAAAGAGAGCAUUGAAGGAUAAGCUCCUACUUGCUACAGAGUUAAGCUUUACGAGAAUCAAUUGCUAACCACAUACACCAAAAGAGAAGCCAGUAACACUCUUGGAAACAGCUGAGCCUACCUGAUGAUCUAUCAGCAGCAUGAACGUCUGAAAAAACAAUAAGAAUAAGACCAGCCACACAAACUAUAACUCCAGAUAUCUUCUUGAAUCUAUACUUUGUCUUGAGAAACAACCAGGUAAGAAGCAUCACGCACGGAAUCGCCCAACAAUCCAGCAACAUUACACUCGUGAGAGAGGUGUACUGAUAGGCCUUCACCACUGCACCACCAGAGAACAGUAGUUCAGUUGUGAUACGGAACAAUCUUGCUAUCAGAGCAAAAGGAUUCCAUAUAUUUUAAAAUACUAAAGAGAAAUGAAAUUUCAGCUUCAUAGUUUCUAAGACAUUGGCAGUUCAUCUUUUUGCAAGAAUUCCCAGUGCUAUGAAACAUUCAUAUUAUGAACGUAAGUAACUUGAACUGUUGACAUGAGACACUUACCAAGAAAAUUGGCCUCCACGUCGAUCACUCCAAGAAUCAAAUAGUAGUACCAUUUAGCCUGUAAAAAGCCCCAUAUAUCAAUGAGGAUUUAUUCGUACAAAUAAUCCAAAAUUGUUAGUUUUUCUCAACCAUUUCCUAAUAACCAGCAGUUUGACUAUGAACACCCAUCAACUUCAAUUAAAUGAUCUAGUUUCCUUCUACUUAAUGUCUAUGAAGAAAAUAUAAGUAAUCAAAUUACCUUAAGUUUUUGUUUCCUAUAUAGCAUAACGCCCCCGUAAACAACAGCCAAUAAUACAUAAUUUAAAAAGGAUUGUGAAGUUGGAGCAUUGAUCCCUGAAAAAAGAGUCAAAGAGCCAGACUUGUCAAAAACAAUAACAAGUUCGGGAAGCUGAUUCUAUCAUUUUGCAUUAUAUGAUUCAACAGAAAUAUGGAACACCAAUCAAUUAAAGUGAAAGAAAGAAGGAACUAAUAAGAACAGACAAAACAGGCCAAUAUGGACCAAACAAGCACACACACAAAAAACUCCAAACGCUAAAACAGUGCAAAAUGGAAAAGAUCAGCAACAAAAAGAAUAUGUCUUUCCAUCCAAUUCUACCCCCAAAGAGGCCCAGCAAACAAUUCAAUAACAAGGGUUUCUAAAAAGUGAACCUUUUCUGGCGAGCUCGGAUGAUAAGAAACCAGUAGAAGUUAUGAGCAGGGAGAGGAAUUGGCCCAAUCCAAGACCCACCAACGUUUUCGUGGUGCAGAACUCGUUGAAGUUUAACAUUCUAUCGAAACCCAGAAGAGAAAACUAGGCAAUCGGAGUCCCACGAUCCGAGCUUUUGUAUUUGGAACCCGAAUGCCGAAACAGGGGAAUCCAACAACCACCGCCGUCUAUUUGUUUCUUACUGAAUAAAUGGAGUUUGGUGGGAGAUUGACUGGUGAUAGUGAGAGUGAAAAGGAGAGCUGGGUUUUCAAAGUCUUUGAGACCAAUAAUAAACGUUGGAGGCGGGGAAUUGCCGCCAGCCGUAGAACUUCGGCGAGAUAGUGGAAAAAUAAGGAAAAUUAUAGGCUUUUUUACAGGAGGGGCAGCUCCAAUGGCAGACUGGUUUUGUUCUGAGUUUUGAUGGCUAAAAGAUUUUGAUUCUCGCACGAUACGGAAUAGAAGAAUCACAGCAAAUCAUUGUAUAAUUGUACAUUUUUAAGAGAGUAUGUUAUUUUAUCGAGUAAAAUAUGUCCCUAUCGCGAUGGAAAGAACUAUUUUUACCCCAAAAUGACAGUGCAAGUGGUAAAGAGUAUAUGUGGUUAGUCCAAAGUUUUGGAUUCGAAUUUGGUAUAUUUUACGAAAUAAACACCAAUUUUGUAUAUUUUUUAUUCGCCGGAUUAGGAUUGUCCCAUUGGUUGAAUUAUAAUAUUGUUGGUGUUUCUCUUCCACGAUUUGUGCAGUCCGAUUUCAAUACUAAUUAAGCGCGUUUCCACGCUAUAUUCUACCAAAAAAUAUGAAUUAACUAUGGACUAGUACACAGCCAGCGGAUCCAAAAUAAUUUAGUAUACUAACCUAAAUUAUAAAGAAUUUGAAAACGAAUGUAAAACUAUACUGAAAUUAUGUAAUAGUGGAAUUAUAAAUUGGGGAAUGGGCAUGUGUGGCGUAGGAAAGAUAAUGCCUAAUUAAGUUAUAGAGAUUUAUGUAGCUUCCGUUCCUCUUAUUUUUAAAAUUUAAGAGAGCAAUACUACCUGACAAUUUAAGCUAAGCAUGACUGCAUGAGAGCCAUGCGCGGAACUAGAGGUGAGUCGGGAGUUCCGACUUAUCCAAUUUUCGAUCCAGAUUAUUAUUUACUGAUGUAUAUUUUAAAAAAAAGAUUCAAUUCAGAAAAAAUUUAAGUCCUAUUUAGUAUUUAGUUGUGUCGAAAUUAGAUGGAGUUAAGAAGAGUCCCGAUUAUCUUAUUUCUUAAUCUCAAGUACUAUAUUAUAUGUAAAAUUUGGAUGAUUAGUUGAUUCUUAGUUGCUUCUUUCAAAAAGUCUUAGUUGGUUCUUUCAAAGUCACAACUGGACAUUGAGAAGAAAAGUCUUCAAUGCAGAUCCUUGAACAAAGCUCCAUUUUUAUACCGGAUAAAGGAUUUACAAUUUACAUUAACAUCAACAGCAAUCUCCAUCCAAAAACACCGGCUUAAGGAAAUAUAUAUCAAAUAUUAAAUGAUUUUCUAAAUCACGUAGUAGGAUGCCAUAUAAACUGAAGAAAGUUUGUUUCUUUUCUACUACUGGUGAUUGACUGGAGAGCAAAGUGGCUAGCUUUUUCAUUUCUGGACCUGACUUUAAUUUAUUCCUUUCCCAAAACUACAAUCGAUUAGGUAAAUGUGAAAGGUGAUGGAAAUGAAAGCAUAAACCUACAGAAAGGAUGCUCAAUUAUUCAUCCCCUUGCUUAAAAGAACAACUAGAAAAUGACACCUCACCUAACCACAAAAAUAAUAAUAGAAAUUUUNNNNNNNNNNNNNNNNNNNNNNNNNNNNNNNNNNNNNNNNNNNNNNNNNNNNNNNNNNNNNNNNNNNNNNNNNNNNNNNNNNGGAUACUAUACCGUGGACAGUUUGUUAAGCGUUCCGUCAAUCUGCACGAAGUAUGCUUCGAGAAGCAUUUCUAGCUCCUCGACAUCAAGGUGCUUGCUUACAGCACUCCUAGUGGUACUAGUGAGUGUGCGGCUAAGUGCACCAUGUGCACUGUAAGGAUGAUCGUUUGUAUGAUCAGCUGUUUGAAUAUCUGGAUCGUAGCUGGUGGAAGCAUCAUGACCUUCCCUAGAGGCUUCAGCAUUCGGGCUGGUGAAACAUGAGUUCAAUCUGUUGAGUAAACAGCACGAACAAAAAGGUGGAAAAAUGGAGAACCUUUUUUAAGGAAUGAAAUCAUAAUAGUUACUUGUCGUCCAUCGCAGGUGGCAGACCAUCUUCCAUUUCAUCUCCAUCGCUGAAAGAAGAAGCAGUCGAGUUUUCCAUGCUGGCUAACUUUUCUGUCAGGUACAUUUCAGCCAUGUCCUCGUCGUCAUCAAGUAAGUGCUCGAGUUCAUCCCUAACCUGUAAAUGAUCAUAACCAAGGUGGUCAAAUUGUGGAUUCAACGUGAAAUCAUAGUAAUCGAAAGAUUCCACGACUUUUCUAUAAUAGAAAAUAUUUAAAUACUGACAGAAGCAUAAAUACAUAAAGUAGCUAGAUGUUGAUUAGAUUCAUUAUUCAAGGUCUAAAUAAACAUGAUAAUCAAUCCAAGAGAAUAAGUUUUCAUCAAAAUACGACAUCCAUAAGUUAACAUCCAGUUGAAUCGGGGUCUGGGCAAAACAUUAGUUGAGGGGAGAAAGUGGAAUCGUGAAUCGGGUGGAGUCUCCGAUUCCACCGAUUUAACACUCCUUUUCGUUCGAUUCCACCUGGUUCAGAUUUUUAGUAGAAUCAAGAUCGCUAGGCCUAAGUAACAUCGUAAAAUUGCGAUUUUAACUUCUAUGAUCAUAACUGCAUAUCAGUCUCUAUAUCAGUCUCUCGGCAUAAGACACAGCUAGAAACUCAACAGCGGAAUUCAGAGCCAGCACUAAAACACACCUCGCCAGUAUUCCAUUUACUCUUUUCUGGCAAGAAGUCAAUAAAAGGAGUCACAGGAAUACAAGCUUUUGACAACUAACCUUUUGCACUCGACCAGUAAUUGCCACUAACCGACUCUUAAUCUGCCGGACACGUUCUAAGUUGAGAGUACUGAUUUUUGAAGUCAGCUUAUCCAAUGCAGGGUGCGCUUCUUGCUCCAAAGUUUUGGCCUGUUUAGGAGAUGAAAAACAACAACAGAAGAAAAUAGCAAAGGAACUUAGCAAAAGGAAAAGGUGCCAAAACAUGAAGCAUAUAAAUUGUCAAGAAUAACAGCAAUGAAACAAAAGCUCACUUCAAUUUCUAAGCAGCCACAUGCAGCUUCCAAGCAUGCUUCUAAAGCUACAAACUCAAACGGGAGAACCUUCGAUCCAUCACGAUUCUCCAUGCUCUGCCUCCCAUCUCCCAUCCUCCCUUCUUCAUGAUCUUGAGCAAGUAAUGAAUGAUCAGGAAAAUUUUCAGGACUACCAGUACUUGAUUUUGGCCCUUGUGAAUCUUGCAUAGUCUUCAAAUUUAUAUCUUCACCAUUGCCGUCCUAUAACAAGGAUAAAUAAGUUCCAGGAGAAUUGUUAUCAUCACCAUAAAGAGAAGAAUCAGAAAAGUAGAUGAAUGGAAAACCAUUGUGGAAUCCGAAACAAACAUAUCAAAUGCUGAAAACUAUUCCAAAUUGACAUUUCUCUUGGGACAAAAGACUGCUCUCUCUGCAAUUUCUUAAUUUCACUCCACAAUAUAAUUAACUGGAUCCAGAGAUCUCAGUAUGAAAUUUUCAAGAUAAUAUUCUAUCAAGUCAUAUAUAGCUUCAUAAAUCAUUUCGAGACAAAAGUUCCAUAAACCCAUUGAUCACAAUCCAUCACUAACUCACAAUUUAAGCAACAUCGAAAGGAGCAACAAAGCAUAAAUAUUCAGUACCUGUGCCUUGGUAGCUUGGUAAUGGAAAGAAAUCCUCUUUUGCAGCUCUUCAACAAAGGGAGUGACAGAAGGGUCCUUGGAAUUCAGUAACAGAACCUCCUGGGCGGUUAUGAUCGCCUUGAUAUGCUCUAGAUUGAUGACAAUCGCCCGCUCACGACCCAAUACAGUGGAAGGGUAUGACAGAAGGGGGUCAAGGAUUCGAAGGUCACGGGCAGGUAACCCUGUUCGGCGCAUGAUGGCAUGCUUCCCAGCCUCCACCACCUGCGUCUGACCGGUUGAAUCCAGCAGGAGCCAUGCCCGAACUCCGGUGCCUUUCUUGCGGGCAGUAAUGAGGGUAGUGGCUGGCCGGCUCAGUGGGUCUGUGUCAACGUCAUUGGGUUUGGACAGUGGAGUCAGAUUAGGCCUCAUUGGCAGCAAUCGAUGAUCGGGAACUGCAGUCGACGUGGAAUAGCGUAGUUAAAACUUAAAAUAACAACGAUAUGAAGCUUCAAAUGGUUUUUCAGCUCAACUUGUAGAAAAAAUCAAUCUCUAGCUGGGUAACUCAAUAAUUUCCCAUGAAAUGCCAAAGGAACGCAACCAUUCAUCCGAAUUCAGGAAGCAUCGGAUAUGUGAAACAAUCAAUUGAUGAGUGUCAUAUAGAAUCAAACUUACACUAAAUUGAGAAUUUUCGGCGUCGACUUGACCAGCUGAUCUAUUUUUUUUUUUCGCUUUCGUCGCUUCGAUUCCGUUCUCUGAGCUUAGCUUCGUUGCUUGGAAAAUAAUCGCAGCACAAACAACGUACAACAAAUGACGGAAGAAAGAGUUACGUCGUAGCGAUACUUCAGUAUCCUCCCGGCGAUUUGAUGCUCCUCCUCGGCUUUUUUCCAGCAGCAAACGGACUGAGAAUGGAAGAGGAAGCAGAUUCAAUUUGGAAACUAGCAAAGGAAGACAAUGGAUCUUCGUCUGUGCUGACUCUGUUAGAAUGUGAAUCAAGAUUUCAUCAACCCUAACUCUACUGAGCUCGUCUGUGAUGCCAAAAUUGCUGAUGAUCGUGCUCCAUCUGUGACUUUGUUUUCAAUGAGAUCCAUUUUUACCAAACUACCCUUCAAAGCCUCCGAAACUAAAACGGUAAAACCCUACGCAACCACACUGACGAACAGAGCUUCAAAGCGUUAACCCGAAAAAGGACGCACCUUUUCACCGAGCGAGAAAUGAGAAGGUGGGUUGCUAAGACUCUUCUUCAAUCGCGUUCCCUUCCAUUUCCAAUCAGUCACUCGAAAACCAGGUUGCUCACAAGUUCUUCCUCCGACAAUCUGGAAGGUUUGGUUGACCCGGAUGACCUUUCUCUCUCAGGGCCAGAGUCAAUUUCCAGUGAAGAGUUUACUCUUCUGCGGGAUUCUUUAUUGAACCCUCAUUCUUCUUCUUCUUCUUCUUCUUCUGCUGGUAAGUUCUCAGAUGAAGCGUUGAUGGUUGUUGAUGUGAUCUUGAGUGUUAAUGAUCAGUUUGGUAAAGAAACCGUGAAGUUGCUCAGGCGGCAUAGGGAGAAGUUAAGCGAGUCUUUGGUGAUUGAGGUUCUGAAUUUGCUCAAUAGCCCUGAACUAGGUCUUAGAUUCUUCAUAUGGGCUGGCCAGCAAAUCGGAUAUUCCCACACUUUACCUGUGUACAAUGCGCUACUAGAGUUGUUGCAGAGAAAUAAUAGUGCUGCUGGAGGUAGAAUACCAGAGCAGUUCCUGCUGCAAAUCGAAGGUGGUAAGGUAGAAUACCGGAGCAGCUCCUGCUGCAAAUCGAAGGUGGUGAUGACAAGGAAGUUCUAGGGAAGUUACUUAACGUGUUGGUUCGCAAAUGUUGUCGAAACGGUUUGUGGAAUGUUGCUCUGGAGGAGCUAGGUAGACUUAAGGAUUAUGGAUACAAGCCGUCGAGAUCGACUUACAAUGCUUUGGUCCAAGUGUUCCUCAGAGCUGAAAGGUUAGACACUGCUUCUCUGCUUCAUAAAGAAAUGUCAGGUUUAGGGUAUGCAAUGGAUGGUUUUACUUUGGGAUGUUUUGCUUGUUCUCUUUGUAAAGCUGGGAAAUGGAGAGAAGCAUUGAAGUUAAUUGAGGAUGAGGAAUUCAAACCUGAUACUGUGCUUUUUACCAACAUGAUAUCCGGAUUGUGUGAAGCCUCGCUCUUUGACGUAGCUAUGGAUUUCUUAACAAGAAUGCGAGUUUAUUCUUGUAUUCCUAAUGUUCUGACUUAUAGGAUUUUGCUCUGUGGGUGUUUGAGAAAGAAACAGCUUGGUAGAUGUAAAAGAAUUUUGAAUAUGAUGAUUACAGAAGGAUGCUACCCAAGUCCAGCCAUUUUUAACUCUUUAGUUAAUGCUUAUUGCAAAUUGAGGGAUUAUGCUUACGCUUAUAAACUUAUUAAGAAAAUGAUGGAAUGUGGGUGCCAGCCGGGUUACAUAGUCUACAACAUAUUUAUUGGUGGUGUUUGUGGAAAUCAGGAGUUGCCUGAGGCGAGUGCCCUUGAAUUGGCUGAAAAAGCAUAUCGGGAAAUGCUCGAUGCGGGAGUCACAUUGAAUAAGGUCAACGUUAGCAACCUUGCAUGGUGUCUUUGUGGUGCUGGAAAAUUCGAGGAGGCAUAUUGUCUCAUUAGUGAAAUGAUGAGCAAGGGCUUUAUACCAGAUACCAGUACAUAUUCCCAGGUCAUUACUUGUCUCUGUAAUUCGACCAAAGUAGAAAAGGCCUUUCUAUUAUUUCAAGAAAUGAGGAAGAAUGGAAUUCUGCCAGAUGUGUACACAUAUACGCAAUUGAUCGACAGUUUUUGUAAGGUAGGUUUACUAAAACAGGCUCGCAGGUGGUUUGAUGAAAUGGAGGAAAAUGGAUGUGCCCCUAAUGUAGUGACUUACACAGCACUUAUACAUGCUUACCUUAAAGCAAGGAAGGUGUCCGAUGCAAACGAAAUUUUCGAGCUGAUGUUGUCCAAGGGCUCAGUUCCUAAUGUCGUUACAUAUACAGCACUGAUCGAUGGAUAUUGUAAAGCCAGAGAGAUUGAGAAGGCUUGCAAAAUAUAUGCAAGAAUGAAACAGGAAAAUGUUGAAAAUUCAGAAGUAGAUAUGUAUUUUGGGGUGGUUGAUACAGAGUCCGAGGAACCAAAUCAUUUUACGUAUGGAGCUUUGGUUGACGGCUUAUGCAAAGCUCAUAAGGUGAAAGAGGCACAUGAGUUAUUAGAAGCAAUGUCGGCAAGUGGUUGUCAGCCGAAUCAUAUCAUAUAUGAUGCCCUUUUAGAUGGAUGUUGCAAGGUCGGUAAGCUAGAUGAGGCGCAAGAGGUGUUUACUCAGAUGAUAGAGCAUGGCUACAAUCCGAAUGUAUAUUCAUACAGCUCUUUGAUAGACAGGUUGUUCAAAGAUAAGCGAUUAGAUCUCGCCUUGAAAGUGCUGUCCAAAAUGCUUGAGAAUUCUUGUGCUCCUAAUGUUGUUAUCUACACUGAAAUGAUUGACGGUCUAUGCAAAGUUGGAAAGACUGAUGAAGCAUAUAAACUUAUGGUUAUGAUGGAAGAAAAGAAGUGUCAUCCGAAUGUUGUGACGUAUACUGCAAUGAUUGAUGGCUUUGGGAAAGCUGGAAGACUUGAUAAAUGCCUUCAGCUUUUUCAAAAGAUGGCUUCCAAGGGCUGUGCUCCGAAUUUCGUCACUUAUAAGGUUCUGAUAAACCAUUGUUGUGCAGCUAGCCUGUUGGACGAGGCUCUUAAACUCUUGGAAGAGAUGAAAGAGACACACUGGCCAAAGCAUGUAGCAGGUUAUCGUAAAGUCAUUGAAGGGUUCAAUAGAGAAUUUAUUGCUUCUCUGGAUCUGUUGGAUGAGUUUAGUGAAAAGGAAGCAGUACCAGUUUCCCCUAUUUACAGAGUUCUGAUCGAUAGUUUUGCUAAGGCCGGAAGACUAGAGAAAGCUUUAGAACUGUACAAAGAAGUCUCAUCAUUCUUAGCACCAUCAGCAGCUAACCGGAAUAUGUAUAUUUCUUUAAUAGAGGGCCUUGCACUUGCUAAUAGGGUUGAUAUGGCUUUUGAUUUGCAUGUUGAUAUGACUUUAAAAGGCAUCAUUCCUGAGGUUGGCACCGUCGUUCACCUGAUCAAAGGUCUUUUGAGAUUAAACAGGUGGGAUCAAAUACUGCAGCUUUCAGAUGGGAUAUGCCAGGCGGUAUGCUUCUAUUACAUUCAUUCUCCCAUCCCCUCAACAACCAUAUGCUCACUAGUUGCAUGAAUAUAUGUUUUUAGUCAUAUGACCAGAGAGCUGAAAAUGGUUCUGAUUAUGCUUGUUUUCUUCAGAAUAAUAGUGCAGCUAUGUAUAUGUCCUCCCAUGUUUCAUUACUAUUUUCAGUAAAUAGAUCCACUUUGAUAGUUUGUUCCGGAAAUAUUAUGUAGAAUUCUCCCUAACUGUUUCUCCUUGUUGCUUUUGCUCAAUUUCCAGGCAAGAAUUGCAGGAAACACUUGCUAAUAAGAAUGCUGAACCAUCUGUUCUGCAUCAACGGUCUCUCACAUGGCCAAGAAAGUUAUUCAAAUAUAGUUUUUUCAUCUCCAGCCGAGAGAAAUGUGCAAUCCACUGAGGUUACACGAUAGCAUAGUGCUUCUCGGGCAAUAGAAACUAAAUUUGAUGGUCACGAAGCUAAGGUAAAUAUGAAUGAGAUCCAUGUUUUUUUUGCCUGGUCUAUUUGGAACUUAAUUUGAAAGUGCCCCUGUUAUUUUUCUCAUAGGAUAAUGAACCCCAGAGUCCUGCAAUAUCGAGAAGUCACCAAGAGUUGACAAUGAGCAGUCCUAAAAUUCUGAAUCCGUAAAUGACAGUAAGAACGAUGCCAUUGAUAACAAGUCCGGAUUUACUGCAUGGAAUGAUGUUCAUUUGAAAGUCAAGCUGCUUAACGGAACUAGUAUAACGUUGAGAAUGGUCAAAGUUCAUCAACUUGAGAACCAGAUGGAAGUAGAAUGUGGCUGUACAGUGAGUCCCUUCUUUUACACUGUUGGCAUUUUUUAUGAUUAGGCGUUUUGGCAAUAUAUCCAGAAGGACUUGUUUUGCCUCUAAAUUGUUAUGUUAUUCAUUGUAGGUCCGAAUCAGGCACCGCUGAAAGCUGCAAAUCAAAGCAAUCAGGCAGCUGGCCCAAGCGAUGUCACAAGGACGAAGAGACACAAUACGGUGGAUAUCAAGCCAAGUCAUCUGAAUUCUAGACAGUAAGGAGUACAGUCUCUUCCAACCAUACAAAAGAAAAGCUCUUGCCUUUGCACUCUUAUGGUUUUGAUCAACGAACUGUGUUUGUUUUGUAUUUUGUGCAGCAUAUACCCUCAAAGUUUACGAAGCAACACGCAUUUAUGAGAGAUGUGAAGGCAGUGAAGCUGGAGGUUGGGGACAAGGUUUGGUCGGUAAGGAUCUGUCUUGGACCUGACAAUAUGUCUGUCAAGAUUGCCGCUGGCUGGAGUAGGUUCGUGAAAAAAAACUCGCUCAAACUCAGAGAUGUUUGUGUGUUCAAGCUGAUGGAAAAAUCCCCUGAGGUCCGAAUGAAGGUCACCAUCAUUAGAGGUGUCUGAAGAUGCAGCAGUACUGUUUUGUGUUUAAAUUUUGCUGUAUUGUUAAUUCAAGAAUCAGGUUGUUAGUGGAUUGUAGUAAGUAACCAUUUGAACAGGUAGGGUUUGGUUAAAUUAUGUUGGAUUUUCAAUAGCUUUGAUCAGAAACUUCAAGGGAGCUUUGCUGGUAGGUGAAAAUGCAAAUUGAUCAGCACUUCUGUUGGUAAAUUCUUUAAUGAGGUCAUGUAUUGUCUCUCAAGCAAGCUUCUUAUUGAUUCAUGUUGAAUUCUCAAAUGUCUCUUCGUCCCGUGAUAUACAGAGCUUCUGGCCACAUGAAUUGCUACUAGUGAGUCAGAAGACAAUAGAGAUGUCAGUGGAGUAGAGAUUGGAAGAUCAGAUAGCAAGGCUCUAAGCCAUUCAGCUUCUUCACAAAUCUCAAAACAAAGGCUAGACAACCAAACUUCCACUAUGCAAAUUUCUUUAACCCAGACGCACAUUUCUUGCGGCAUGAUGUUGUAGUCAAUUGAUUAAUCUAUACGUGGCUGUCAAGUGUUUUGAGUCUUAAUUUCUGUAGUUGAUUCCUCUGUUGAUCAUAGACUUCUGACUUCACGGUUUUGACUGAGCAUUUGACAGAAUUUGUAUUUCAAAAGUCUGUUUCUUGAACGGCUAAACAAGUGGUACUACAAAGUUAUUUUUUCAAGUAAGUGAACUGUUUUGUACAUGAAGAAAACAUAAGGUACCAUGAGGGUUAUCUAUUCCCAUGCAACCAAACGAAAACUUUCUAGUUUGGCAUUCCUCUGCAGACUGCAAAGGCUAGCAGACUAAUGGCAAGGAGGAGGAAAUAGACCUCCUUUAAUGGCAGCCUGUAGAUUAUCAGUUUACAGAUAUGAUUUAUUUGUUUCCUAGCAUCACAACCUUGAAGCAUAGGAAUGCAGCAGACAGGUGGGUGGUGUUUAAAUGUCAUGAAACAAGAGCCAAAGAAGUUCAAUUUCAUCAGCAAUAAGGCUGUCAAUUAGUUGCAAAUCACACAUCUCAGCUGCAUAAUCAAAGUUGAAAGAUACUUGCUUUGGUGUCCAAUUAGUUGUAUCAACUUGAAAAAUGUUGCUGGUGUGACAGUGUUUCCUCACAUUAGCUGAUGAUCAGAGAUAUUUUGAUACAUGGUGAUAAAUGAUUCACCAGCACAGCACAGCUGUAUAUUUUGAAUUGUUCAAGGCCUGCAGCUUCAUUUGCAGCCUUUUGAUAAUUGUGAGAUCACCAUGAAACACUCAAAUAUCCAUUGGACAAAAGAAACUCAUCAUCAUUAAAUAGUCCACAGAAGAAACAAACUAAGGCCAUGUAGUGUCCCUCCCUUAUUGGCUGCUUCCCACAAAUUGAACAAAUAGGAAGUGUUUUAUCUUUAACUGAUGCUAUCUCUGUCAUUUAGCCAAAAGCAGUAAUUUUGAAGCCAUUUCUUCAUUCUUCCUCCCACUAGUCCACAGAUUCACAAAGAAGCAGAUUUUGAACAACUUUUUCACUCUACAAGAAAAAGAAGAAGAAGACCAAGAGAGAAGUUAAGGAACAAUGGCUGCAUCUUCAAGCCAGGCUAGGCGUGGAGAGGAAGUAAUCCGUUUCAUCAAGAUCAUCUUUGAAUCUACCAUCCUUGACAAGAAGCUGGUAAACCUAGCUAUAAACUCCUCCAUCUCUCUUUUCACUUUUGCAAGAAUUAUGAUGAUUAGUUGCGUAGUUUAGAAGUACUGAAUAGAAACGGUUGUAAUGCAGAAGAUACCUAGCAAAUUUAUCAGUGAGUUUGGACAGCAGCUGGUUGGAUGUGCUGCUGCUACUUUAGAGGCUCCCAGUGGAGACAAAUGGGAAGUUGGUUUGGAGAAGGAUAGGCAAGGGUUUGUUUGGUUCUGCAACGAUGGAUGGGAGAGAUUCGCAAAGUUCUACACUUUGGAGCAUGGCCACUUCUUGCUUUUCGGGUACAGAGGCCGCACUGAUUUCUCAGUAGUUAUAUGCGACAUCUAUGCUGCUGAGAUUCCCUACCCGACAUUGAGCUUCCCUGCUCGUGUUGAAAUCGAACAUGAGGAGGAGGACUCCCUUCCUAUUUCUCUGGAGAGCUUAAGUGUUGAUGCUGCUGCUGCAAAUGAGAAAGCCAAAUCUCCUAUGGUUGAUGAUUCUGCAGGUUGGUUAAACCAAACCGGUCUGAAACUUAUCUAUCCCAUGUAAAUGCUGAUUCUUUCUUUAUGGUGGUGUUGUAAUUUGCUGUUACAUUUGUAGGCUCGUAUGAUGCUUCUGAAGAUCCUUCCGGAUCGGAACUUUCCUCGUUCAAGAUCAGAAUCCCACCAAGUUAUCUGAAUGCUAGACAGCGAGUAGUACGUCUCAUCCAACCAUGCAAAGAAGAGUUCUUUUUUGCCUGCACUUAUAUGUUUUUGAUCCACUGUGUUCUUUUCUUUUUGGGCAGAAUAUACAUCGAAGUUUACAAGGAAACACUCGUUUAUGAGACAUGUGAAGGAGGUGAAGCUGAUGGUAGGGAACAAGGUUUGGCCAGUAAGGGCCGGUCUCGGACGUGGCAUUUCUGUCAAGCUGGCAUCUGGCUGUAUUGGGUUCGCGAAAGAAAACUCCCUGGAAGUCGAAGAUGUUUGUGUUCGAGCUGAUCGCAACAUCCCCUGACACAAAUCCAAUUUGAACCUCAUGAACCACUUCUUGAAACUCUCUUAGGCUGAUGGUAGAUGGAUCGAGGGGCUGCUCCAAACUUCCCGUACCGAGCCGCAUUGAAAAAAUAAAUGUUCACAUAUCUCAUUUUGCAAUCCACAACACCCACACAAAGAGCUUGGGGCGCAUCUUCUUCUUGCAAGAUUAACCUUCAUCGAAAGCUUAUCUUCACAGGCCUUCCAUAAAAAGAAUUUGAUUUUCGAUGGAAGCGAAAGAUUCCAUAGCCAACGCCACUCUUGAUUCAUGCCUUCAUUCAUACCCAGACUCAUACUUUGCUGACCAUGUUUCAGCAAUUUAUAACAAGACUUCACCGAAUUUUUUUUUUUACGAUCAUAAUGCCAAAUCCAUCAAUCUUUAAGAUUAGGUGGACACAAAAAGAUCUUCAAAAUCUCUUUAACCAUAUACUCAGGGAAGAAAAGCCUUAACUUUGAACCAUUCCAAACUCUAAAGGGAAAGAUAACACAAUUACUAAUCUUACAGCUUGCAAGAGGAGGGAAUGGCACAAGAAGUCCUCAGCGUUCGGGAACCAAGCCUCGUUAAACCAGGUCGCCUCUCCAUUGCCAACAUUUUUUUGAAGCCCUUUAAUCAACGCAUCUCGACCAGCCAUGAUACUCGACCAAAUCCAUGACGAUUUGGAAAAUAUAAUGUCUUGAGGACCCGAACACAUAAAGCUUGAGGCUGUUGGAUGAUCUUCCAACCCAGUUUAAUAAGGAAAGAGAGAUUGAACUCCUUAAAACUUCUAAAUCCCAAACCUCCUUAAAAUUUUGAGGACGUCAGUUGCUCACGGUUACACCAGUGAAUCAAUCGCUUGGAUCCAUCAGCCGACCACCAAAAUCUAGCAACAAGAGUAUCCAUCUUCAUCAAGAGUCCAUCUGGGAACUUAUAGCACGAGAAAAUAAAGGAUGGAAUGGCUUGCAGGAUAGCUUUUGAUAAAGUCUCUCUUCCCCUUUGAGACAACAACAUGUUUUUCCACAAGCCAGCUCUCUUGGUUAUCCUAACGAGGAUAAAGUGAAAGGUAUCCACUUUGCACCUCCCUCAUUCAGCCGGCAGGCCCAUAUACUUUCCAAAUCGGCUUUCGUAAUUGACUUGCAAAAUCCCAGCCAUAACCUCCCUAAUAUCCUCCGAGGUGUUUUAGAGAAGAAAAUAUAUGACUUCUCCUCAUUGAUUUUUUGUCCAGAGAUAUUCGCAUAGAUAGCUAGAAUCUACUUGAUAUGAACUGCUUCAUCAUUUGUCGCCCGACCGAAGACGAUUGUGUCAUCAAGAAGCAAAACGUGAGAAAGAACAGGGCAAAUGAAGUGUGAGCUUAAUUCCUUGAUAAGCCCCUGGCUCAUAUCUUUGUGGAAGAGGAAUGACAAUGCAUUGGAGACAAUAAUAAAGAGGAAGGGGGAGAGCGGACCCUCCUUUCGGAUUCCUCUCGUUGGUUUGAAGUAGUUUGUAGUUGAUCCGUUGAUCAUGACUGUGAAAUCCAAUUAACCCAAGUGUUACUGAAUCCCAUCUACAGCAAAAUAAGAAAUAAAAAAUCCCAUGAAACCCUAUCAUACGCUUUCAUCAUGUCAACCUUAACGAGGAAGUCAUAAGUUUUCCCUUUAUUCCGAUACUUCAGCCGAUGGAUCGUCUCAUGAACAAUAACUACACUAUCCUGGACAGAACGAUUUCCCAUAAAAGCAGCCUGAAGCUCUGAGAUCAAUCCUGGCAUAAAAGGUUUCAGCCUCAUUGCAAGGAUUUUUUAGAUAACCUUCGCUCUAAAGUUCGCCACACUAAUCGGCCGACAUUGAGAAAUCUUUUCUGGCAGCAGGGUCUUGAGAAUUAAGGCUAUGUGAGUUUUGUUCCAAUCUUUCGGAUAGAUAGACGUUUGGAAGAAUUCCUGAAUUUCUUGACAUAAUUCGCCUUUAAUCAACUCCCAAUGAUCCUGAAAGAAACAUCCAGGAAAAUCAUCAGGUCCAGGGGACUUUGUCGGUUCCAACUGGAAGUCAGCCACUUUAAUCUCCUGUUCCGUCACAGCCUUAGAUAACACUUGGUUCAUAUAUUCAGUAACCAUUCUCGGGAAGUCUUGCAAAAUAGAGUAGUCAACAACAGUGCGGGGUUUUUCAACAAAUCAUGAAAAAGGUAGAAAUAUGGCUUCGCAACUCAGCUGGUUACUCAAUCCAUACUUCCUCGUCAUUCUUCAGUUUAGAUAUCAAAUUUCUUCACCUUCUGUGAAUAGUGGACAUGUGCAAAAUCGGGUAUUUUUAUCACCCAACUGGAGCCAGUUAACACACGCUCUCCGCGCCCAAUAUUCUUCCUCAAUCUUCUAAUUUCUAACAAGGUGCUCCCGAGCAUCCUUUUGACUUUGCAACACAGCUUCAGAGGUAAGUAGAAUAGCGAGGCUAUUAAACUCCUCAUAAAGAUCCUGAAUCUUAAUGCGAUUAACACUAACAUUAUUUUUCUUCCAUUUUGUUAACUUGAUUGAACACAUCUUAAGGCUCUUAUUAAUAUUUCUUCCUUUCACCCAUUCCUCCCUAACCACCUCUUAAUAACCGAUAGCAUGUUGUCAUCCUUGUUCAUAAUAGAAUCUUUCUCCUACUAGAUCCCGAGAGCCAUUCUGCUUAAUGAUAAGGAACUCAAUGUUCAUUGAAAACUGUUGUAUGAGGGUAGUGGUAAAUCCAUCCUCCAUUACUCAUAGCCUGAUCCAAUCUGACUUUGACGACAUUACCCCUUGUAUUGUUGUUACACCACGUGAAUCCAUUUCCCGAACUCCAAAGAUCACCAAUUCCUACAUCAAAAAUAAAAUCGUUAAAGAGCUGUAAGGCCCAAGACGGAGGUGAAAUUCCUCCUUCCUUCUCUUCCUGACACGCAAUAGCAUUAAAGUCUCCAGUCAAGCACCAUGACACCUCUUGUUCACGAUCAAACGACAGAAUUUGGUUCCACACUUACUCUCCACCUUCCCUCCAAUGCACAUCAAUAUAGUUUUUUAUUGUUUUGAGAAUUUCGAUUUGAAUGUCAUGAGUCUACCACAAAGCAAACCCUCCUGACAGAACAACUGGAUCAACGUACUCUUCAUUCCUAAAUUUCAUCUUAUUCCUCAGUUUUUCCAUUACAUUUCUCUGUUGCUUAGUUUUCAUGAGGAAUACAAUGAAAGGGGCAGUACUUGUGAAUCAAGUCCUGCAAGUGAUUGAUUGUAGGGGACUGUCCCAUAUCCCUACAGUUCCAACUAAUAAUCAUGACUGAUGUAGUGGUUUAUGGCCUGUCAUCAUGGCCUUUGGGUUGCUUUCUUCAUAAUCACUGUAAACUCUUUCUUCCCCUGAUCAUUCCUCUUAGAAUGUUUAUUUGUUAUCUUUACUUUCCUCCUUGUUUGGUACAUGCCUUCCAUGAAUCUACCCCUUCACCAACAUGAAGCUCACCUUCACUUUCAGACAUUAUCUUACACUUCUUCCCACUAUCUCUCUGGUCUUCAAACACCUCCUUUCUCUUUUGGCAUGGUCCUUCCCAUCCAAGUUGGUGCUGGGGCAUGACGGGUUUUAGGUCUUGGUAAGAUGGUGGGAAUUGAGGCAAUUGGUGCAAUAGAGUUUGGUAAGGAGGAUAAUUGGGUUGGGUAUUACAGUAGCAUUGGAUAGCUUCUGCUACAUGAAGAAUGUUUUGAGAUAACAAGAAAUGGGCUAGUUGCGUUGUCAUGUGGUUCGAAACAUUUGGGGUAGGUUGAUAAGAAAAAGUCAGAAAGUUCUGUUCCUCCUUACUAGUGGGUUUGGGCCAAAAAAUAUUUGGAUUUGAGAGAUCAGUCAAAGGAGUUGCAGCUGUCUUGGUGUUCUAGAGAACAGCUUUCUCGAAGAACUCAGAAGACUAUGUUACUUGCGUCUCAAGCAACCAGGCGUUCAUGUGGAAAAAAUACAUGUUCGAACAUAGAAGUUUUUCGAUACGCAUCGAACUGGGAGACUCGGUAUCAUUAGUGGAUCAGUGCAGGGAUUUAGGCCAACAUAUACAACUUAUUGUGCAGGGAUCAAAUGAAAAUUGCAGUGCUGAGAAGUGCUAGCAGAGGUAUUACCAAAUGGCAAUUUGGUUCAAUUUUUGUGUGUCAUCUGACAAGGAGUAAAUGAAUCAUAUAUAAUCCUCUAGGUGUGUCACAUGUGGACUUCAUGUGGUGGUACUAAGGUAUAAGAUUUUGACCGUGAAGCUGCACCGAAAACGAUAUAAUUGAGCAGAAUCUUUUAAGGUUAACUUUGAUUAAUUAACAGUCUAAAAAUCGUGAUAAAAUGAUACCGGUUUUUGCCUCCGGUACUCGGUUGAGGUCGUUACAGUAGGCCUGGCUAGCUGGAAUUAACCAAUUUCCUUGAUAUAAACACUAUGCUUAAUGUGGUUAAUUAGUGGAAGAAGAAGGAUACAAUUUAUAUAAUACAAAAUAAUCUGAGUUGCCGGCAUGCAUCUCCAAUUUUGAUGGAUGCCAGCAAUGAAUAUCAAUAUGGUGAAGUUUGUGGUUAAUUAUGCAGUUUGUUCAUAUUACACUACCUUAUACUGACAAAAAACUUGAUGAUCUCACCAUCCCUUAGUGCAGAAUUGUGUUACAGAGUGACUUCAAAAGUUGAGUGGUGCAUCCACAGCAAACUCCAACUUGGAUACGCAAAGCUUAAGUAUUUGUACUAAUUAGCAGAUAACUAUGAAUUAAUUAAACCGUGUAUAUGCUUCUAAAUGCAUGAAUGCAUCUCGUAUGUGCUAGCUAGCUGCACAUUUUUAACUUAUCCUCUUAAACCUAUGUGAUUUGCUUAAUUUAUCUAUAGAUUCUAUACACAUUUAGAGAACACAGAUUUUGUUUAUUUUAAUAAUAAUUUAGUCAAAUCACCAUGGUUGGUUCGGACUACCGUAACCGUAUGAUGCGGGACAUAUAUGUUUCCUUAAUAAAUAAAAAUUAAUGGUGGUUUGAUUUUAUGAUUUAGUCGAAGCGAUUUUGAAUCUUAAGAGAUUUGAAAUAGGAAAGAUUUCAAAUAUAUAAGUGAUUUUUUAAAAUAAUUUGUUUAGUGGAAUUUUGAAAAUUAAAAGAGAAAUUUUGAUUGGUAAGUGACUAAUACACACCUAACUUGUUCACAUUCUUUUAAACCAAUAAGGCAAUUUGGUCACUUUUUACUCAAUUCACUUGGGAUUUGGUAAGCUUUUUGUCGAUGAAAUAGAUUUGAAAUUAUCUCCCAAAUCACUUGGGGUGGAAUAUCACUCAGACCCACAAAAUCACUCUCCAAAUCCAAACAAACAAAUGACCCCUAAGGUGUAUAUGGUGGCGGCAUAAAUGGGAUGUAAGGGCUGACUAUCCUAUACCACGGCCACCCAUGAUAUCUAGUUCUUUAUAAUUAGCUAAAUUUUCUUAUCUACAAUAAAUAUGAUGUAUUUUCAAAUUUCAGAUUCUGCCACAUCAACAUAACUGCCAUCUAAACCUUCAAUCCAUAUUUUCAAGAUUCCGGCCAAUCAAAUUUUAUUCUAAUACCCCUCUUAUUUUAAUUUANNNNNNNNNNNNNNNNNNNNNNNNNNNNNNNNNNNNNNNNNNNNNNNNNNNNNNNNNNNNNNNNNNNNNNNNNNNNNNNNNNNNNNNNNNNNNNNNNNNNNNNNNNNNNNNNNNNNNNNNNNNNNNNNNNNNNNNNNNNNNNNNNNNNNNNNNNNNNNNNNNNNNNNNNNNNNNNNNNNNNNNNNNNNNNNNNNNNNNNNNNNNNNNNNNNNNNNNNNNNNNNNNNNNNNNNNNNNNNNNNNNNNNNNNNNNNNNNNNNNNNNNNNNNNNNNNNNNNNNNNNNNNNNNNNNNNNNNNNNNNNNNNNNNNNNNNNNNNNNNNNNNNNNNNNNNNNNNNNNNNNNNNNNNNNNNNNNNNNNNNNNNNNNNNNNNNNNNNNNNNNNNNNNNNNNNNNNNNNNNNNNNNNNNNNNNNNNNNNNNNNNNNNNNNNNNNNNNNNNNNNNNNNNNNNNNNNNNNNNNNNNUUAUUAUUAAAUUAGAUGAUUAAUUAUAAACAUUUAUGUUUUUUUAGUUUAUUAAGAUGUUUAAAAAGAUAAAAUUUAUAUAUGUACGACAAAUCAGGUAAGAUACUAAUAAAUUUUACACGUUUUCAAAUUUAAUCCAAUAAUAUAUUAAGUCUUUACAUCUCAAAUCCGCUACUCAAUUUUUUUGAGAAAACAUGAUUCUAAUUGUCGGAUAAAUCCUUAAUUAGCCAUUUUAGACACAUUUUAUUCUUCUUUUAAAUCUCAGUUUUGUCUAACCACAAGUACUUAAUCUUUGUGGAACUUUCGGUAUCACUAAACAAAUAUUUUGUACACUUAAGUGCAAAAAAAAGAGAAAAAUAUAACACCAGGCCGUAAGCCGCCAUGCAUGUGGUAAUAUACAAAUACUAAAUUAAUUCCACCUCCAUUCAUGCAUAAUAAUUGUGCCUAUAAAUAAAUGGCAUAUAUUAUCCAGGCACAACAAAAUCAUUGAGAGCAUAUCAUACAUUAAUAGUUCGAUAUGGUCAGCAUAAAGCUGAGUACUAGUACUUCAUCAGCAUCAUUGACCAUACUAUUGUCGCUGCUGAUGAUCUCGUGUAUGGCUACGAAUGUCGAAGCCCAACUAAGAGCCGACUACUAUGCAUCAACGUGCCCGAAACUUGCACAAAUCGUGCGUAGGGAAGUGAUGAAUGCAAUCAAGGCCGAAACCCGGAUGGCAGCCUCCUUGCUCCGCCUUCAUUUCCACGAUUGCUUUGUCAACGUACGUAUGAUUUCAUAUUCGUUGUUGAUGUUGUUUUUUCGAUCUAAUUAUUAUCGGUGUUAGCGAAUGAACAUAUAUAAUUGUUGUUGUGUCGUUUUUCAGGGAUGUGACGGUUCUCUUUUGUUGGAUGGGAGUGACAGUGAGAAGUUAGCGAGGCCUAACUUGAACUCGGCCAGGGGGUUCGAAGUUGUGGACUCGAUCAAAACGGCAGUGGAAAGCCAGUGCAGUGGUGUCGUAUCUUGUGCUGACAUUCUUGCCUUGGCUUCCCGCGAUUCCGUGCUCUUGGUAUAGUAACUAACUAGAUCAACAAACCUAUUAUUGACUUUGUUUGUUUCUUCAACUUGUUGGGCUUUGCUAAGAUAUCCAAAAAUCCUAAUUUAACGUGCAGAGUGGAGGCCCGUCGUGGAAAGUGCCGCUAGGGAGAAGAGAUGGGCUUGUGGCUAAUCAGACUGCUGCUAAUGGGCUACCAGGCCCAUUUGAUAACCUAACACUCAUAGUGACCAAGUUUGCAGCAGUUGGCCUUGAUGAUAUCUCUGAUGUCAUCUCCUUGUCAGGUAAUCUCUAUACUAGUCUUUUAUGAUUAAAAAUCCAUGUUUUACCCUUUUUGAAUUUUGAUCGAGCCUCCUGGUUAUCGAGUUGAGUUGUUAGUUAGAUAAAUGAUCGAACCAUGUCCACCGGACCGUCUGAUUAAAAAUCCACUAAAAUAUGUUAUCUUUUUCAAAUUUUGAUCGAGCCUCGUAGUUAUUCAUUCAAGUUGUCGGUUAGACAAAUAAUCGAACUAGGUGUCCACCAAAUCGUCUCUUAGCUCGGAUUAAAAUGUUACUAUUUCAAAUUUUUGUUCAACCACUUGAUUAGCCAUUCGAGUUAUCGGUUAGACAAAUGAUUGAUCCAUGUCCAUGCAUCAAACUGUCUUUUAUGAUUAAAAAUUCACUAUUAUAUGUUGUCUUUUCUGAAUUAGGAUCGAGCUUUUUGUCUAUCCAUUUGAGCGAUGAGUCAAAAAAAUGAUCAAAUAAUGUCCACUAAACCGUCUCCUACGAUAAUAAAAAAAGUAAAAAAAGUAACUAUUAUAUAUAACCCUUUUCGAAUUUGGAUCAAACAUCUUGGUUAUCCAUUUGAACAAUCAAUUAUACAAAUAAUCAAACCAUGCCCACCAAUGACCAAACCAUAUCUCUUAUGAUUAGAAUAUUACUCUUUUUUUAUUUUGAUUGAGUCUCCUAGUUAUCCAUUCGAGCUAUCAGUUAGACAAAUGAUCGAAUCAUGCCCAUCAAACCAUUUUUUUUAUUAAACAUCCACUAUUCUAUGUUACCUUUUUCGAAUUUUGCCCAGUCUCCUGCUUAUCCGUUCGAGUUGUCGUUUAGGAAAAAUGAUCGAACCACUAACCAACCGAAAAUAACAGAAAAUUUCGGAUCCUGUAGGUGGGCACACAAUUGGACAAGCAAAAUGUGCUACGUUCAGCAACAGGCUGGUCAACUUCAGUCAAACCGGGUCCCCGGAUCCGACAAUGGAGUCCAACUUAGUCGCCGAACUCCAAACCUUGUGUCCGGUGAACGGCGACGGCAACGUCACUACUGCUUUCGACAAGGGCUCCACCGACUUGUUCGACAACCACUACUUCCAGAACCUCGUCAACAACAAAGGGAUUCUGACCUCCGACCAGGUGUUGUUCUCCGGCAACGAGGCCGCCACCGCAGCCGCCAGGAACCUCGUCCAGAUCUACAGCGUCAAUCAGUUUCGGUUCAUGGGCGACUUCGUCAAAUCGAUGAUUCGGAUGGGGAACAUUGGUCCGAUUACUGGGUCGGACGGUGAGAUCAGGAAGAAUUGUAGGGUGGUUAAUUCAGGUUGAUUCCUAGUCAGAUUAGGAUUGUGUAAGAUUAUUAAAAUAUAAUAAUGGUGUGGUGAAGUUAAUUAUGUGUUGAAAAUGUAUUAGUGGUUACGUAAUGAAGUGUCAAGUUGCAUGAUCUUUGUUAAAGCUAUAAUCUGGUAAAGAGGUUUUGGAUUUGUGAUUAUUGAAUCUAAAUAUAAUUAUUUGGUUUUAAUCUUGUGUAACUUUGUUGAAAGUCAAAACUACUUGGCUUAAUCUUAGCAAGUCAAGUAAUGUAAUAAUAGUAAAUUUGGAAAUGACAGUGAUUAGAAAUGAAAAAUGAGAAAUGAACAAAGAGUACGUGUCGUCUCUUUAUAUGAGAAUAUUUAUAACUUAGCACUGAAUAUCAAAGUUCACUACAAAAAAAAUU